Molecule: long non-coding RNA, 62872 nt
Filed under: Ananas comosus (pineapple)
Lineage: Eukaryota; Viridiplantae; Streptophyta; Magnoliopsida; Poales; Bromeliaceae
Description: long non-coding RNA (ACOM_LNC022325)
Source: RNAcentral
CUCUCUCUCUAGGAUUGGCUCCAAAGUGUGGAGUUUGGUAGAGAAAAACUUACUUAGAGGUGAAGCUUUCUUUUUCUUUAUCAUUGGCUUGGAGAGCUUGGGUUUGAGAGGUAAGCUUUGAUAGCAACAAUGGUAGAUUGCUAAAUAGAUGGUUGAUGCUUUAUCAUUGGCUUGGAGAGCUUGGCUUUGAGAGGUAAGCUUUCUUUUUCUUUAUCAUUGGCUUGGAGAGCUUGGGUUUGAGAGGUAAGCUUUGAUAGCAACAAUGGUACAAAUAGGAGUUUCACUAAACCCAUUUGUAUGCCUUAGAAAUGGGUUUAGUGAAACUCCUAGAUGCUAAAUAGAUGGUUGAUGCUCGAAUUUAGAGAUCAAAUGAUGAAUUAUUGCAUAGUUGCAUCUUAGAACAUCAAAAGAGGGGUUUUGCUUGUGAGGGGUUUUGAUCUAAAUUGAUUAUGUAUAAACCUAAUUGCUAGGUUUUCUGACGCGUUGGCGAAGUCGGUUCGGCGAUACGACGAGGCUACGUGAAGAUAUUAAAGAACAAAGUCGUUAAGGUACAGAUUGCCGCAGCUCGUGGCGAAAGCUUCCAAAAAUCACGAAAUCGGAACCCUAGCCUCGUGAUAGCGAUAAAAGGUGGGGGGUGUCCAUCUCGAAGCAACUGGGCUUCCUUCUAUGUCCGAGUUAGAUUUUUGGUCAUAUUGCACAUAUUAUUCUUAUGCAUUAUAGGAUGUAUGUAUAAUUGCAUUUCUAUUUCCUUGCAUGCAUGUCUAGUUGUGUAGCAUUAUGGACUUGACACUUAAAUCUAGAAUGCAUGAGGAUUAGGGUUUGUGACAUGAGAUCCUAUAGUGAUAAGAAAACGGUGAACUCGGACUUGAUGAUGAAAACUGGUGACAUGCGAACUAGUGUAUAGAAAACACUAUGACUUGGACGAGUAGCAUGUAAACAAUGAUAACAACAUGACGAGUGGCAUUGGAACUUAGUGUAAUAGAAACACUUGUGACAUUGAGCAUAGGGAAUAGGUGAGUUUCCCUAGUCAUGGCAUAUUGCAUGAGAACUAGUGUAAUUGAGACACUAUGGCAUCAAACAUAGGGAUAGUUCAAUUCCCUAGUGUGAGUUGAUUAGUGUGGUUGAGACACUUGACAUGAACCUAGGGAUAGGUGGAUUUUCAAGUGUUUGUUAACCUAGUUGACAGGGUAUCCUCAGUUGGUGAGGAUUGGAUCAUACUCACAAGUCUGUUUUGAGCUUGUGGUGGUCGCUCCACACAAGCAGUGCACUCCGGAGUUGUCACACGAGCUGGGUAGCUCACGAGCGGGGUAGCUCACUGGGUGGGAUACGAGCGGGGUAGCUCCUCACCCAUUGCCGAAGUUGUCACACGAGCGGGGUAGCUCAUGAGCGGGGUAGCUCAUCGGGUGGGAUACGAGCGGGGUAGCUCCUCACCCAUUGGACUGGGACGUGAGUUGGGGCGAAGGGCGGGGUAGCUUUUCCCCUAUGAGAUUGAGCGGGGCAGCUCAAUAUCUAUGAGAUUAGAGCGGGGUAGCUCUUCAUCUAUUACCUUUGAGAUGUGAGACGGGUGAGAUAAGAGCGGGGUAGCUCCUCACCUAUGAGAUUUGAGAUAUCAGUCAGGGCGAAGAGCGGGGUAGCUCUUCACCUCUUCAUCUACUAGAUUGUGGUGAGUACCUAUGAGAUUUGAGAUCUUAGGCAGGGUAGCCUAGUGGAUUGGGUAAUGAUAUGAAUAGCAUAAGUGGAUUUGCAUUCAUCCUCUGAUUAGACAUAGUAUAUGUUAGUGGAUUGCAUAACUAUGUUGUAUUUGUUUUCAUUACAUUGUUGAAGCAUAUUAUCAUGAUAGUAGGCUUAUUGCUAGACGAUAUUUCAUGCAUUGCUUGCAUUUGAUGGCACAAUAGAUCAUAGUUGCAGUUCAAUAUCUAUCUAUCUAUUUGUGCCAGCUUAGACCUAGUGGGAAGAUCGGCGGAGUCGGCGGCCGAACCCACUGGGAACUAUAUUUAUAUAGUUCUCACCCCGUGUGGUUUUGGGGUACAGGUACACACGAGAGCGGACCGGCAAGGCAUCGCGGUAAGGGGGUAGCGCCUUAGCUAGCUAGUUGUGGCUUUCCUUUUGUACUAGAGUACCCUCGUGUACAUAGGUGACGUGGUUGUAUUUUGGAGCAGUACAUUGUACCUAGAUAUAUGUGAGAUGAUUAUGUAUUCAUUUUGGAAGCUUAAAUGUAAUCAAAGAUGUAAAAGUGGAAUGUGAUGUAAUAGCUAGAUGUACUCUUCUUUAUGCACUUGUAUGUAUACUUGUGUUACUUGCUCUUGUUGUAUUGCACUCUUUUGUGCUUCUCUCUCUUGUUGGAUCGUGUAUGUAUGAAUUAUCCCUGGGCAAAUUCUUUGUACAUAUCCUGUGUUGAGCCUUGGCGGACAGGGGAGGUGCUGUCCGUUCGGCGUCCGUCGGCGCGGCCCGAACCGGACCAAAUUGUAGCGGUCUCGGGGCAGGGCGUUGACAGGUAUGGUAUCAGAGCAAGUUAAGAGCAAGUAAAGAGAGAGAGUCUAGGAUUGACCUAGAGGACCUUAGGUUAGGAAAGUAAGGUUAUAGGUGGUGAGUAGAACGUGGCCCUAUACGGUGGCGGGAGUUGAUCGAUUGGGUCGAAGUGAUUGUAUGUCUCUAGUCGUGGCUAGAGAUGGAUUCAAGUGGUAUGAGUUCUUGGCUCGAAGUGGUAGUGUUGGGCGGCCGACAACAACGACGCGAGAGUCUAGAAUCAGUACACUUAUUGCUUCCGCCUAGUUUGCGACGUUGAGUCGCGUAGUUGUGAUCGCGAGCGAGUUGGUGGGUUAAGUUAAUUAACCCGGUUGUUGCGUUGCAGGAACUAAUGUCCCCAAGAUGCUACACGCGCAGAUCUAUUCCGGCACCGUCUUCGGAGGCGCCAGAGCAGGCUGGACCUCCCGAGGCGCCAGAGUUAGCUGGGCCUAGUGAGGUGCAGGAGUUACGGGCACAAGUGACCGCAUUGACCAAUGUGGUGCAGUGCCAGGAGACCCGAUUCGAGCGGCUCCAGGAGCUCUUGGAGCGGCAAAUGGCAACGGUGGCUGCGAUGGCGACUGGAGGUCGUGACCCGCCCGCACCCCCGGUGCACGCGCCUGUUGUGGCUGAGGGUGAUGGUGUAGUGCCUGUUGGAGCAGGUAGAGAGCUAGAUAGCACUAGCAAAAUACUGGUGAUGAUUGUUGGACGAGAAGUGAGACUCGUGGUAGGGCGAUCGGUUAGUGUUCGAGCAUGAGCACGUAGGCCUAGUAGUACCUCGAAGUGAGGUGGGUGAGUCGUGCUCGUGUGGCCGGUGCGCAUAGGCAGGGUUGCCUAAUGUCGGAAUUAGUGUACGACGCGUAGAGCGCUCGAAUAUAGGUACUCGUGAAGUACGAUGUUGACUCAGCCGGGAGAGUGUGUAGGCAGUAGCACUGUAGCAUUACUAAGUGUGAAGCGUGCCUGGGAUCACUCAUAGGGCUGAUGGCUCGCAUUAGGUGCUUAGGAGCCAAUAGUGAUAUGUGUUGCUCGGGUGAGCAUGUCGUGGGAGACAACGGUUGCGGGUAUAGCUUGAGGAUGAUCCAUGCCCGGACCAUUCGUGGACUAUGGAACCUGGGUCCCUAUGAACAGGCGCAGUCAGCUGUGGGUGGCAGCGGCCCGGGGUAGGGCAGAGAUUUGGUCAGGACGGUAGUCCGAGCUUAGACCCGAAAGCGUGGAAUGCCACGUGUUAGAUCGUGUAAUCAUGGAUGCACUAAGAGUGCAAUGGUGACCCAACCCGAGGAUUUAGAGUGGUUUGGGGUCUUGAUUGCUCCUGGUUGGAGUAUGUGCGAAUUCCCAAAUGAGAAGUUCGCCUGGUUAUGAUGGGGUCUGCGCUUGCGAGCGAGAGACGCUACGUGUUGAGAUAGGUUUAGGCGGUAGACCUGCGUAGAAUUGGUGAACUGUGGUUCGUCUAUGAGAUUGAGAUAAACGGUAGGCGAGUAGCCUUGUCGACGAGUUUAGGCUUGGAUUCACGAACAGGAGUUCGUGUGAGGUUAUAACAAGAGUGGUUCUUCCCACGGUGGUAAUGCACUUUUGGAGUUACACUUAGCAAAUGUGAGUGAAUUUGGUCUCACAUCCUCCGUAGUGGGCCUUGGAUGAUUUCAAUGAAUGAAAGCCCACUCUAAGAAGGAAAAGUGCAUUGGAAUCCCCGAUUGCUCGAUAAAUCGAGUUGGAAUGUGAUUGGGGUUGAAAUUUGGUUAGUUUCGAGGACGAAACUCUUUUUAAGAAGGAGAGGAUGUAAGGUACCGAACUUCUAAAAUUAUGAAGUUACGGCGGAUGUAGUAUGCUGGAUUUUUAAUAUAAAAAUAAAUAUAAAUAAAAAUAGUGUGAGAUACUAUUUUUAUUGGAUUUAAGGGUGUAAAGUAUAAGUUGGAAAUGACCUGUGCUGAAAUCGGGGCGAAAACAAAAGAUUUAGAAUUUUCUGUGACAGACGGGGCAGAUAAAUUAGCAGAAAAUGCAGAGUGUCAGAAAAUUAUGAAAACUGGAGGAUAUGUCAGAAUUAUUUUUAUAAGGCUAGAUUUAAAGUUUCAUACCAUUCUGACACCCGGAAAAUGGAAAAUAAAAUCCGACUGCUAUCUGAUAAAGAUUACAGUUCGGUACAGCUUUCGGUGACAAACAUAGUCGAAACUGAAAGAUUAAAAUUUACAGGUACACACGAGAGCGGACCGGCAGGUGAUCGCGGUAAGGGCGUAGCGCCCUAGCUAGCUAGUUGUGGCUUUCCUUUUGUACUAGAGUACCCUCGUGUACAUAGGUGACAUGGUUGUGUUUUGGAGAGUACAUUGUACCUAGAUGCAUGUGAGUGGAAUAUGUAUUCAUUUUGGGUGAUGAUGAAAAUGUAAAUGUAAUCAAAGAUGUAAAAGUGGAAUGUGAUGUAAUAGCUAGAUGUAUCUCUCUUUAUGCACUUGUAUGUAUACUUGUGUUACUUGCUCUUGUUGUAUUGCACUCUUUGUGCUUCUCUCCUUGUUGGAUCAUGUAUGUAUUGAAUUAUCCCUGGGCAAAUUCUUUGUACAUGAUCCUGUGUUGAGCCUUGGGCGGAUAGGGGAGGUGCUGUCCGUUCGGCGUCCGUCCGGCGCGCCUGAACCGGACCAAAUUGGUAGCGGUCUCGGGGCGGGGCGUGACAGGUAUGGUAUCAGAGCAAGUUAAGUGCAAGUAAAUAGAGAGAGUCUAGGAUUGACCUAGAGGACCUUAGGUUGGGAAACCGUAAGGUUAUAGGUGCGUGAGUGGAACGUGGACCUAUACGGUGGCGGGAGUUGAUCGAUUGGGUCGAAGUGAUUGUAUGUCUCUAGUCGUGGCUAGAGAUGGAUUCAAGUGGUAUGAGUUCUUGGCUCGAAGUGGUAGUGUUGGGCGGCCGACAACACGACGCCGAGAGUCUAGAAUUAGUACACUUACGUGCUUCCGCCUAGUUUGCGACGUUGAGUCGCGUAGUUGUGAUCGCGAGCGAGUUGGUGGGUUAAGUUAAUUAACCCGGUUGUUGCGUUGCAGGAACUAAUGUCCCCAAGACACUACACUCGCAGAUCUAUUCCGGCACCGUCUUCGGAGGCGCCAGAGCUUGCUGGACCUCCCGAGGUGCCAGAGUCAGCUGGGCCUAGUGAGGUGCAGGAGUUACGGGCGCAAGUGACCGCAUUGACCAAUGUGGUGCAGUGCCAGGAGACCUGAUUCGAGCGGCUCCAAGAGCUCUUGGAGCGGCAAAUGGCAGUGGUGGCUGCGAUGGCGACCGGAGGUUGUGACCCGCCCGCACCCCCGGUGCACGUGCCUGAUGUGGCUGAGGGUGAGGGUAUAGCGGCGAUUCCGGUGGCGGCACGUCCCUCGCCGGCAAUUGUUCCUCCGGCAGCGUCGGGAUCGGCGACACCCGAUGCGGCGGCCGAGGAGAUGGAGCGAGAGCGUUCGUUGACGGCUCUUAUCAGAUUCAAGAAGUUCAACCCACCAAUCUUUGAAGGGGAGAAAGUGGAGCCGUCGAUGGUGGAGUCAUGGAUUGACUCAAUGGAGAUACUUUUUUAGGAUCUCUAUACCUCGGAGAAAGACAGGGUGUAUCUCGCCACCCAUUGCCUUGGGAAAGCAGCGAAGGUGUGGUGGAAAUAGGUGAAGCGAGAUCGGCCUUCUGACCUUCCACAUAUGUUAUGGGAGGAGUUUAAGAGGGCGAUGUUCGCCAACUAUUUUUUCGACACGAUGAAGCGAAAACUGCAGGAGAAGUUUCGCAAGUUGAGGCAGGGGGAUCGCUCGGUAGCGGACUACGAGCAAGAGUUCUCCCACAUCAUAGAUUGUGUCCCGGAGGUUGUUCGAGAUGACCGGGACCGGGCCGACUGGUUCUUGCGAGGACUUCGGCCGGGGAUUUAUAAGGCCGUGCAAAUAUUCAAGCUCACUACCUUUGCUGAGGUUUUUGAUUGAGCAUUGUGGGCGGAGCAUGGCGAUGCCCACGUGCGAGAAGAACGAGAGGCGUCCGAGAAGGAUAAGGCGAAGAAACGGCCUGGCGGUAGCUCGGGGGGACAGUCAAGUUCUAAGAAGCCCCCGAAGUACCCGAGGAGGCAGUUUGAGAGCCAGGGACCUAUGCGAUGUGUGAUUUGCGGUGGGAGCAUCGCGUAGGAAACUGUGAGCAUAGGGCGGGACGAUGCUUCAGGUGUGGUCAGGCGGGGCAUAUUAGCCGUCAGUGCCUAGAAGGAUCGUCGCCUGCACCGUCUAUUGCAUCCGCCCCAGUGACUCCGGGGCAGUCGGGUGGAGUUCCGCCUGCUACAGUAUCGACGGGACGUGGGAUGGCGCCGCAACGGCUUGAGGCGACCCGGUCGGCUCCGAGUAGUCGAGUGUUUGCCGCUCAAGCGGAGCGACCUACUGGGGUAGAGGAGUGUGACACCAUGCCAGGUAUGAUUUAAUUAAAGUAAUCAUACGCUUCUGCAUGAUGUAGACUUAAGAAAUUACAUGCAUUUACCUUGUGGUCGUUCGCUACUAUUUGUGCAUUGGUAUUGUAGGGACCAAGUGAACGGGUUGGUGUAGAUUCCCGAGCAUGCUUAUGUGGUGAGAGUGUAGCGCCUGCUGGAGCAAGUAGAGAGCUAGAUAGCACUAGCAAAAUGCUGGUGAUGAUUGUUGGACGAAACGUGAGACUCGUGGUAGAGCGAUUGUUUAGUGUUCGAGCAUGAGCACGUGGGCCUAGUAGUACCUCGAAGUGAGGUGGGUGAGUCGUGCUCGUGUGGCCGGUGCGCAUAGGCAGGGUUGCCUAAUGUCGGAAUUAGUGUACGGCGCGUAGAGCGCUCGAGUAUAGGUACUCGUGAAGUACGGUGUUGACUCAGCCGGGAGAGUGUGUAGGCAGUAGCACUGUAGCAUUACUAAGUGUGAAGCGCGCCUGGGAUCACUCGUGGGGCUGAUGGCUCGCAUUAGGUGCUUAUGAGCCAAUAGUGAUAUAUGUUGCUCGGGUGAGCAUGUCGUGGGGGACGACGGUUGCGGGUAUAGCUUGAGGAUGAUCCGUGCCUGGACCAUUCGUGGACUGUGGAACCUGGGUCCCUAUGAACAGGCGCAGUCAGCUGUGGGUGGCAGCGGCCCGGGGUAGGGCAGAGAUUUGGUCAGGACGGUAGUCCGAGCUUAGACCCGAGAGCGUGGAAUGCCAUGUGUUAGAUCGUGUGAUCAUGGAUGCACUAAGAGUGCAAUGGUGACCCAACCCAAGGAUUUAGAGUGGUUUGGGGUCUUGAUUGCUCCUGAUUGGAGUGUGUGCGAAUUCCCAAGUGAGAAUUUUGCCUAGUUAUGAUUGGGUCUGCGCUUCCGAGCGAGAGACGCUACGUGUUGAGACGGGUUUAGGCAGUAGACCUGCGUAGGAUUGGUGAACUGUGGUUCGUCUAUGAGAUUGAGAUAAACAGUAGGCGAGUAGCCUUAUCGACGAGUUUAGGCUUGGAUUCACGAACAGGAGUUCGUGUGAGGUUAUUACAAGAGUGGUUCUUCCCAUGGUGGUAAUGCACUUUCGGAGUUACACCAAGCAAAUGUGAGUGAAUUUGGUCUCACAUCCUCCGUAGUGGGCCUUGGAUAAUUUCAAUGAAUGAAAGCCCACUUUAAAAAGGAAAAGUGCAUUGGACUCGAUAAAUCGAGUUGGAAUGUGAUUGGGGUUGAAAUUUGAUUAGUUUCGAGGACGAAACUCUUUUUAAGGAGGGGAGGAUGUAAGGUACUGAACUUCUGUUGUAAGGUACCGAACUUCUAAAAUUAUGCAGUUACGGUGGACGUAGUAUGCUGGAUUUUAAAUAUAAAAAUAAAUAUAAAUAAAAAUAGUGUGAAAUACUAUUUUAUUGGACUUAUAGACAUAAAAUAUAAGUUUGGAAUGACCCGUGUUGAAAUCGGAGCAAAAACAGAAGAUUUAGAAUUUUCUGUGUGAAACGGGGCAGAUAAAUUAGCAGAAAAUGCAUAGUGUCAGAAAUUCUGAAAACUGGAGGAUAAGCCAGAAUUAUUCUUAUGAGGCUAGAUUUAAAGUUUCAUAUCAUUCUGACACCCGGAAGGCGGAAAAUAAAAUCCGAUAGUGAUCUGAUAAUGAUUACAGUUCGGUACGACUUUCGAUGACCAAACGGGGUCGAAACGGAAAGAUAGAAAUUUUUUUCGUUAAGUUAAGUAAAACCGAACAUGACUGUCAAAUUUGAGCUCAAACGGAUAUUCAGAGGGCUCCGGCGAAAGAUAUCAGAUUUCGAACUGCCUGAAGUGAAUAGUGUAUGCUACUAUUGGGGUGUUGACCAUAAGUAGAAGCUUCUAGUGACUUGGCUUCUUCGUCACAGCCGAGCACCACCCCCACAAGCACAUGUUCAUGGUGGUAGUGAGAGAAAUCCUCACUUUCUCUCUCUAAAUAACUCUUUCAUCUCUCUAGAUAUUUCGCCCAAAUUCGCGGCGUUGGCGGAGAACGAGCUUGCGAACGCGUUGGGAGCGACGUAUCGAGCUUUCGUGCGCCCGUUGGAGCGGCGUGCUUCCGUCUCGGCGUUCACAUUUUGGUAAACUUUUGGGAUUUGNUCAAAGAUGUAAAAGUGGAAUGUGAUGUAAUAGCCAGAUGUAUCUCUCUUUAUGCACUUGUAUGUAUACUUGUGUUACUUGCUCUUGUUGUAUUGCACUCUUUGUGCUUCUCUUCUUGUUGGAUCGUGUAUGUAUUGAAUUAUCCCUGGGCAAAUUCUUUGUACAUGAUCCUGUGUUGAGCCUUGGGCGGACAGGAGAGCUGCUGUCCGUUCGGCGCGCCCGAACCGGACCAAAUUGGUAGCGGUCUUGGGGCGGGGCGUGGCAGAAAUAUUAAGGAUCCAAAUCCAAAAAUAAAGAACAAUAAAGCACUUCUAAGUUUCUUUAAUGACAAAGAUCAUGAUCACAAUCAAUAGAGAUGUGCAUUUGCAUCCAUCAAGAUUAGCCGUAUCUCUAGUUUCGGAUUCGUGUUUGGCAAAUAAACGCUAGAAAAACUAUUUCGCACCACACCAGUAUGAUAUGGGCAACACUGGACCGAACAUUUCUGCACUAUGUUGGUAUGGCAGGGGUACAUCUUAUUCCUUUCAAGACAGCCGCAGCAGUGUCGCACUGCCGCAUGUUACAUGGCACCGUGAGGGCUUUUUUUUUGCUUCAUUUGUUCCUUCUUCUUCUAUUCUUUUCCCACUUCUCACAGCAGUCUCUAUGUUCUCUUGUUUAUGCUCCCUUGUCCAAAAAUGAAAAGAGGUUUCCUCUUCUCAUGUGAGUCGUGAAGACUCAAAAUAUAUGCAUUGGGCAAAGUAGACAUCCAUAUUCUUAUUUAGAUAUAGGAGAAAUCUAGUAUAGCCUAGGAGAGUUUUACAACACCUACGGGUUCCAUGGAAAAUUCAAGCUCUUCCUUCGAAAAUCAUGUUUUUAAGGUUAUUUUCAGAUUUUCUCUACAUUUUUUGAAAUUUUGAGAAGAAAUAUGAAAAUUGGAAGCAAUUGAUGACCAGAACAACUUGAUCUGCUCCUCAUAUAGUACCUCCAUUAAGUAAGCAUGAAAUUUAUCAUUAAACCUUAAGGAAAUAAUGACUUCUCCCAAUUUUUUCUCUGUUUUCUGUGAACCCCAAAAAAGGUCAAAAAUCAAAGUAAUUUAUCUGUUGAUCCAUUUCUACUCAGCAUAUGGUCAGUCUAUAUAUUUCCAUGAAGUCGUCUUGUUAUCUUUCAUGCAAAAUCUAAGAAAUAAUGAUUUUUUUUCCCUUAAGUCCUUCCUUAUGUUUUAUGCAAACCCGAAAAUAGAAUUUAAAAGCUCAACGUAAUUGAUGUGCAAAUCAGCCAGAUCUGCUCAGCAGUCAGCAUAUGGUCCCUGCAGAAAUUUCCAUGGAGGGAUCAUGUUAUUGUCUUUGUGAAUUUAAGAAAUAGUGUGUGGUGUUAGAUCCAUAACUUCUUUCGCAUAAGGGAAAUUGUGUUUAAAUGAAGAAUAAAGUUCGUAUCUCUACUGGUAGAUUAAAAAAAGAGACUUAAAAAUCAUGUUUAGCACCAAAUAAGCCUUGAAACCAACAACUGAAGAUAUUACUUGGAUGAAGAAAACCAAGAAAAGACUGUCAGAGACUGGCCGUACAUGCCAGUCAAAAGCCCUCACACUUGUCAGUCCAUCACUGUGCCGACAUUCGAGACAACACUAUGCCCCUGCCAUACCAGGCCAGCUAGGGGCUAGACAACCAUCAUGCCUCAGCACCACUUCAUGCAUCGUCAUCACAAUCCUUAAGUAAAAAUAAAUCUUUCUUUAUUAAGCAAUUUAACCUGUCUGUAUGAUGCAAGGUGAUAUUCUUUCAUCUACACCAGUGAACAUCUGUAUACUGAUGAUACCACACAAAUGACUGCAUUUAUUUCCAGCCAUUAUUUGCAAAUUCACCAAACGAAGAAUUAACAAAUAAAGAUGUCGCGGUCCCUAGCUAGGCUAGCUUGGAGAUUCUGCUAGGUGGUCACCUCUCAUUUUGUUUUAAUUGGAGAGAUGUUUAGCCCUUGAUGUAUAGAGACCACUAUUUUUGUAUUUAGCUUUUAUUUAUGUGGAUUCCUUGAUGUAUGUACUUGCAGGAUUAUAGUUGUUUACUUUCCUAUUUGUCUUUAGAGAGUAGUUAUGUUCAUGCUUUAAUAUCCUGAUAGAUGUUGUUAUAUUCCUGUAUGAUUUCUAUCUUAUCAUUGUAGAUGCCUUAUAUGUUCUUGGCAUAUGGCAGGUCUGAGCAUGCACUGGACAGGCUUCCGCUAGGGCCCGGGCGACGAUUAGUACUCCCAGUUACAUCACAUCACAAAUUAGAUGCGUCCCUGCUGUGUCCAUACAUGCUUACUUCUAGAACGAUUUUUGACAUUGAAUCAGAUUAAGACCAGAUGCAGCUGAUAAACCAGCAGUAGUUAUAGAAACAAUGACAGCAUGAACACAAAAGCUUAUAUUAUUAGACAACAACAUAUUGAGAAGGAAUUGGUACUAAACUAUGCUACAGGCAUCCAGAUGCAGCAGAUAAACCAACAGUAGUAGAAGAAACAUUGACUGGAUGGACACGAAAGCUUAUAUUCUUAGACAACCAUAUCAACAAGGAAUUGAUACUAAACUAUGCUACAGGUGUAAGUGUGUGUGUUUAUGGCGGUUUAUUAGGAAAUAAUUACAAGACGAAGAUAAGCAUGUCUAAGCAGUCAGUUGCAUGAUACACUAGGUUGCACUUUUUUCCAACUUUCAGCUACAACUCAAAACUUAGAAGAAAAGAAAAGAAAAGAAAAACAUAAGAUAAAUUGUUUAUUAUAAUAGAAGGAACAUGUGAAUUCUGUCAAUUAGUUACUCUAACGCAAUUAUAAUUUUAGAAGAAGAUAAAUGAAAUAAACAAAGUGCAAUAAAUUAAAAGAAAGGUCAUUAUACUUGAGGAAGUCGAACAACUUCUGCUGUAGUUUGUUAAGAGCCUCCUCCUCCAUGUUGACAUAAGCAAGUAACUCAGGCAGCUUGACUACAAACAGCAAAUAAAACAUUGUAGAACAUCAUGACAAAAAUAAUGUGGAGCCAAAACAUCAUAAUAUGAUAAGUUAGGCCGAGAAAAAGAACAAACUAAUAGCAUAAUUGAUGAGCUAUAUAGACAAUCUUAAUUUCAUAAACCAAGAACAACUUGUUGGCCUAGUGGCCCUAAUCAACCAUUAGAUUUUGAUGAUAACAAAUAAUUGUGACUAUUGGACUAAUCCUUUAUCUUGAGUUUUUAUGUUUAGAUUCUCCUAUCUUUGGAAAGGACUCAAGAUGGGCAAAAUUCGAGCACUAAACUUCACCGCUUGAAGCUAUCCUCGCUGCUUAGGUCAAAAAGACCAAUUCUCUCUCUCUGUCUCUAUAUUUUAAUUUGUUUACAUUCACUUUAGAUUAGAGUUGAGAGUUAUUGAGCUAAAAUUGAACUAUUUUUAUCGACUUAUAGCACAUUUGAACAAAAUUUAUUCUUGAUCAAGCUUGUGCUAAGUUAACAUUGCCCAAAACUCUAUUUAUAAAUAAAUAUCCAUGGCACUUCAAAAAAUACUCAAAAUCUACUCAAAAUCAAAUUUCUGUCAGAUUUCAAGUUUUGGGCUCAGAUCCGGGCACCCAAAAGUGGAUUCGAAUCUGCCUUUCUUUCUAAUUGUAAAUGUCUGGGUGUCCAGAUUGCCACAGUAGCAUCCGAAACUGAAUCUAGGCGCCCGAAAGAUGUUUUGGGCGCUUAAAAAGAAUGAAAAUUUGAUUUUGGACAGGUUGCGUGUUUCGGACGGUGCUGCUCCGAAUUCAUUAUUUCUGCGGUUCUAGGCACCCGAAUCAAGUACCGGGCGCACGAACAGUACUUUGUCUAUUUUCUAUAGAGCAUGCGCCGACCCGAUAAAGCUUUUGACAGCGCCGCUGUGAGAGCAGCACGCGUGCACCGGAGAAGUGGGUGCCCGAAGUACUUCUAGGCGCCAGAAAGUACUGCCCAAAAAAUCGGCGCACGUGGGCUGACAGGUUUCAGAAAAUUCAGCACGCAUUACUUCUGGGCACCCAAAUCCAGCUCUGGGCGCCUGAAAAUCCUGUUUCCAGCAAAUAGGGUGCGCUAUAAAUAGAGGGCUUUGUUGAUCCAUCUAUUGAUCUUUUGAACUUGUAAAUUUUAUGUGUUUAAUACUCUUAGCACUCUACUCUCUCACUAUGUUUGAGUGAAAUUUGUAGUGAGAUAUAAUAUUGUAAAAGAGAAAAAAAAGUGUAGAAAGUGUAAUCUUCUUGAGAGAAGUUCUUGGUGUAACAGCUUGGCGCUUGCCCAGAAAAAGCAGGAUUUAUCGAUUGCCAUUUCGAUCCUCACAUCUUACUAGAAUCUAGCUAGGUCAUAAAUUAUUUGGAGCUACAUGUUCAUGUCCACCACUUGAAUAGUUAAUGCCUUUCUGAAGUUAACAUUUGCUAGGCACUUAAACAUUUUUUUGGUCUCCACUAAACCAAAAUAAAUACGUAUGCAAGUCCCCAUUCUUUCCCUAUAUUCUUGUUAUGGAAAGUCAAAAUUGUAUAUAUUAUGUUCCUAUUUAGCUAGCAUAGUUUAAGACAUCUUUCUUUAGAGAUCUUUCCUUAUUAAAUAUCUUAUUAUAGAAAUAUUUAUGUAUAUAUAUCUUUGUAAUUCAUUAUUGAAUGAACAAGAAGAAUUUGUAUUCUAUUCUCUUUGUAUUCUCUUCUUCAUGGUAUCAGAGCAAAACCCUAAUUCUAGGGUAUAGCGAUCCAGUGCUGUCUUUCUCCCUCACCGGAUCUCAUCGACGCUACAGUACCGCUACAGUACCACUACAGUGCGCUACAGUAUUGGUGCUAUUGCUGCAGUCUAAGGUUCGUGCAUCUGGUUCCUAUUUUUUGAUCCUUUGGUGACAUACCUAGGGUUGUUUUAUUUGCCUCGCAUCGAGGUGUAGAGUGCAGCCCUGAGAGCUGCUUUGUGACUUGGUCUCGUUGUCCAAGACGCCAUAUCUGAAACUGUGUCUGCUAAGAGUGAGCCAAAAUCUGUGAUUGUCGAUGUGAUCCCAGUAAUGACCAAAAUCACAGAACACAAACUCACCGGCUCCAAUUAUCUGGAAUGUAGCAAGACGAUUCGUGUUUAUCUACGAAGCAUUGAUAAGGAUGAUCACCUAACUAGCGAUCCACCGGACGAUAUACAAAGCAAGCUUGGUUGAGGGAAGAUGCUCGGUUGUUCUUACAACUCAGGAACUCUAUUCAAAGUGAGGUAAUUAGUCUAAUUAAUCAUUGUGAGUUUGUGAAAGAAUUAAUUGAUUAUUUAGAUUUUUUAUACUCUGGCAAAGGGAACCUCUCCCGCAUAUAUGAUGUUUGUAAGGCAUUUUACCGAUCUGAGAAGCAGGAUAGGUUUCUCACAGCGUAUUUUAUGGACUUUAAACGUGUUUAUGAAGAGCUUAAUGUUUUAUUACCCUUUAGUCCUGAUGUAAAAGUGCAGCAGGUUCAACGCGAGCAAAUGGCGGUUAUGAGUUUUCUUGCCGGUUUACCCCCAGAAUUUGAGACAGCUAAAUCUCAAAUUCUUUCUAGCUCUGAGAUUUCCUCUUUACAUGAUACUUUCACGCGAGUAUUUCGUACGGAGACUCCUCAAUUUUCUCAAUCUACUAAUAGCGCGCUUGUGAGUCGCAAUGAUAAUAGACGGCAUAAUAGUAGAGGGGGCAAUAGAGGGAUUAUUGCCAAUAAAGGUAAUCACUGUCAUGGAGAGACUACCUCUAAUCGAGAUUUUGGAGUUGUUUGCUAUUACUGUCAUGAACCUGGUCAUACAAAGAGCACAUGUUUGAAACUUCAAAAUAAGAACCAACGAUCUCAGAUGGCCAACAUGGCAGCCGGGGAGUAUACAACCCCAUUCUCAGAGAAAACUGUUUUGGUGUCUGCUUUAGAAUUUGCACAGUUCUCCCAAUAUCAGGCAUCCUUAAAGUCCACCAAUUCCCCUGUCACUGCACUCGCCGAGUCAGGUAAAUCCACAUCAUGCCUUGUGUCUUCGCAUUCCAAAUGGGUCAUUGAUUCUGGUGUUACAGACUAUAUGACAGGUAACUCUAGUCUUUUAUCUGCCUUUCAGUCUCAUAUAACAUCUUCUACUGUUACUUUAGCUGAUGGAUCUACCUCUUGUGUCAUGGGUUCUGGCAUUACAAACCCAACGUCAUCAAUUUCUUUGUCAUCUGUUUUAUGUUUACCCCAGUUUUCUUUCAAUUUACUAUCUGUUAGUAAACUCACUCGAGCUUUGAAUUGUUGUGUCUCAUUUUUUUUCCGAUCAUUGUUUGUUUCAGGAUCUUACGACGACGCAGAUUAUUGGUAGAGGACAUGAGUCUAGAGGUCUCUAUAUCCUUGACAACAAGGUGUCGAGGUCUCUUGCCUGCUCCAGUAAUUUAACUCCUUUUGAAGUCCAGUGUCGGUUGGGACAUACUUCAUUAUCCACCCUAAAGAAAUUGUUUCCGCAGUUUCAAUCUUUGUCCAGUCUAGAGUGUGAGUCAUGUUAGUUUGCUAAGCAUUAUCGUUUACCUUCUGUGUCUAGAGUCAAUAAACGGGCAUCGUCCCCUUUUGAGUUAGCUCAUUCUGAUAUUUGGGAUACGUGUCCUAUUGUUUCCAAAUCAGGAUUUUAAGUAUUUCGUUACCUUUGUGGAUGAUUAUUCUCGUGUUACUUGGUUAUAUUUAAUGAAAAAUCGUUCAGAACUAUUCUCAAUUUUUUGUGCCUUUUGUACUGAAAUCAAAACACAAUUUAAUGUUUCUGUGCGUAUAUUGCGAAGUGACAAUGCCAAAGAAUACUUUUCAGAAAAUUUUCACAGUUAUAUGACAUAGAAUGGCAUCCUUCAUCAAUCCUCAUGUGUUGACACUCCAUCCCAAAAUGGAGCUGCUGAAAGAAGAAACCGGCAUCUCCUUGAGGUAGCUCGUACCCUUCUUUUUCAAAUCAAAGUUCCUAAACAUUUUUGGGCUGAUGCAGUUUCCACGGCUUGUUUUCUGAUUAAUGGCAUGCCUUCGUCUGUCUUGGAUGAUGAUAUUCCUUAUACUGUUUUGUUUCCAUCUAAUCUUUAUUUCCUAUUGAACCUUGUCUUUUUGGUAGUACGUGUUUUGUGCGAGAUGUUCGUCCACAGCAAGGUUUUAAGUGCCCGUCGGCACGGUCCGUAUCCACCGUGCCGUACCGUGCCAACAAGAUACCGGCACGAUACAGACCUCGUGCCGAUGGCACAAUUCAAAACCCUCUAUUUAUUAAAUUAGUACGUAAUUUCCUCAAUAUAGCUCAAAAGAUGUGAUAAAAAGACAUAACAAAUAGUUAAAAUAUUUUGUUGCUAAAGAAAAUAAAUAUUUCAUACUAUUAUGUGUCGGCACAUAAGAAUUUUUUUGACCUGCAUGCAUCAGCACGGCUCGGCACGCACCGUGUCGUACCGUGCCGGCAAGUUUCCAGCACGACCCCGUGCCACGUGUCACGGACAAAAUAUUUUCUGCUGAUUUCUCCUUGACAGUGGCCCAAAUCUGCUAGCGAAACGGGUUGAAAAUGGAUUGAAUCAGGUUGUCAAUACCCAAACCCAACCUGCUGUGGGAAACUCAAGGGUUAUGAAACUCUCAUGAGUUAUGGGGUGACUCUUAGGCUUUUGGCUCAUUAUGAGGAUGAGUUAAUGUGUCUCAUAAUGAGAGAGUUAGUGUGUGUCCAGGUUCAUUGUAACUAGGAGCUUAUAAGUAGUGGGGUUUGGUUAAGGCCAAAACACACAAGAGAGUGUGUGUAUGUGAGUUGUAAUUCUCAUUUUCUAAGUAGUGUAGUACUUAGUUUUUUGAGUGAACUUUUGCCUCUCUCUCUUUGUCAUUCCCUUUGCAUACUUAGUCGUAGGACGCGAAGGUCUGGACUAGCAAUAGGGACGAAGGCUUGUCCAUCUUCGAGCAGCAAGGCGGGCGCCGCACGAACUUUGCGAACAGAACCGCUAAGGCCGUGACACACGGCACUUAAAUCCUUGGUCCACAGGUAACUAAAUUGGAUCCAAAGUCUCUUAAGUGCGUCUUUCUUGGGUACUCUCAUCUGCAAAAGAGGUAUCGAUGCUUUUCUCCUACUCUCGAUCGAUAUAUUGUGUCUGCCGAUGUUACAUUUUUUGAAUCUACUCCAUUCUUCCCUCUCUCAUCUACUUAUGAAAAUGAUGGGGAGGAAGAUGAUCUCCUUGUUUAUACUGUCAAUUCCUGCUCCAUCGGCAACUGUUCGACCCCCUAUUGUUCAUGUCUAUUCUAGGAGAUUAGCGACUCCUGACUCAGAUCCUCCGCCAGCUUCUUCGUCGGAAGAUCCAGUUACUACUAUCACCGACCUUGCCUCUGAUUCUGAUCUUCCGAUUGCUCUUCGCAAAGGCAAACGUAAGUGUACCUACCCUAUUUCAUCGUUCGUUUGUUAUGACCGUUUGUCAUUCUCUUCUCGUUACUCCAUUACCUCUCUAGAGUCGGUUUCUGUUCCUAAAUCUGUUGUGGAAGCUUUGUCUCAUCCUGGCUGGCGUGCUGUAAUGGAAAAGGAAAUGAUGGCUUUAGACGCCAAUGGUACUUGGGAACUGGUACCCUUACCUGCCGAUAAGCGAGCUAUUGGUUGCAAAUGGGUAUUCACUGUGAAAAUGAAUCCAGAUGGUUCUGUAGCUCGCCUAAAAGCCCGCCUUAUUGCCAAAGGCUAUGCUCAGACUUAUGGGGUUGAUUAUUCUGACACUUUCUCUUGUAGCUAAACUUGCUUCUAUUCGCUUAUUUAUUUCGUUGGCGGCCACAUCUCAUUGGGUUUUACACCAGCUGGACAUUAAAAAUGCUUUUCUCCACGGUGAUCUUCAAGAAGAGGUAUAUAUAGAGCAACCACCUGGUUUUGUUGCUCAGGGGGAGUUGGGUCGAGUGUGUAGACUUCGGAAGUCUUUAUAUGGCUUGAAGCAAAGUCCUCGAGCUUGGUUUGGCAGAUUCAGUGAAGUAGUUCAGGAGUUUGGCAUGAAGAAAAGUAAGUGUGAUCAUUCUGUGUUUUAUAGACAUUCUGAGACUGGUCUAAUUCUAUUAGUAGUGUAUGUGGAUGAUAUUGUCAUCACUGGGAAUGACACUGCAGGAAUCUCAUCUCUCAAGUUGUUUCUUCAAACCCAAUUUCAGACAAAGGACUUGGGAGUGUUUAAGUACUUUUUGGGUAAUUGUCACAUCAACUGUCUUAGAAAAUUAUUUGGAUUUUGAGGACAGAAGUUUUAUUAAUAUAAAAUAUGAAUUGUCUUAUUCGUAAAAUUUCUUAUUUAGCAUGAUAGUGGAAAUAUCAAGGAUGAAAAUUUUGUUACAAGGGAAGAAUGUACUACCCCAUUUUUUUUUUUAUUUGAUCGAGGAUUCUUUUGCUCAAGUUAAAAAAUCUAGGGGUUCAUGUGCAAUUAUGCAACCCUAAUUAAUAAAAAAGACUCCUAAUCUCUCUUUUUCUCCCCAACCGAUCGUUCUUUCUUUUUGUCUCAUUCAACCUCAUCCGUAUGUGCCUUUCGCACGUGCGCGAUCUCUCUCUCUUUCUUGCACAAUCCUCGAUCUCGUCUUUCGACACUGCCGCCGCUGCCACUUCAUCGGCAUCUUUUUGUUCAUGGCCAGCAUCAUUGGAUAGUUAAAGGCAUCUCGUUUGUAGUCAUCUCAUUCAUCGUCAUCAAAAAGGUUCCUUUGAUUAAUUUGAUGCACUAUAUUUGACGAAACAAUACUCAAAUUAUUUAGAGGUAAGCGACCUAACACCUAUUAAUUUAUUCUUGAUAAAACUUGUAGAAAUAUGUUACGAUAACGAAAAUCCCUUACUAUAUGGUUUUUCAAAACAAGGGUUAAGCGUGCUGAUAUAAAUUACAAAUCGCUGGAAGAAAAAGAUUUCUAAAAAGUUCUAAUUUGACUCUUGUGCAGUUUUUAGAAAAAUAUGUGCUUUAGAAAUUGUGCUUAUUUGAUAAAACUUCAGAAUUUAAUAAUUUGUUUCCUUCAUAAUUUUUGACUCGGUAAAAAAUUUUGAAGUCAUGAUGUCCCUAGAUAUAUUGCUAUAAUGAUGUUGGCCAUAUCGGCAUGAAUCUUGUGUUUGAAGCUAGCUUUGAUUUUGUGAUGCAUCUAUGAGUGCUACUUUGUGACGCACCUUCAGGUGCAAUUUUAUGACACGUCUUCGGCUGCAAUUUUGUGAUAUGCCUUUAGGUGCAAUUUUGUGAUGCGCUUCCUAGUGCUAUUUAGAUUCAUAUUUGGGUGCUUUCUCUUUGUCAUCGUGCCUUCAAUGUCUCUAAUGUGCAUUUAGGACCUAAGCCAACAAUCGCUAGUUAUCAAAGAGUUUCGUUUUAAAUUCUAAUUUUCAAAAUAAGAACACUUAGUUAAUUCUAUUUUUCUUAGUCUUUGUAAAACAUGCUUGUUUAAGACUCAAAAUUCUGAAACUUGAUUUGUAAAAGUUUGUGAAACUCCAAUGUUGUAUUGGACACGUAUCGGGUGCGUAUCGAGCACGUCUCCAUAUUCGAACUAUAUUUGACAUGCAUACGUCAUGUAAAUUGAAGUAUCCAUGUUUCAUAUAUGUCUAGAUUGGCACACCAUACUCGACCUUCAUGUCAUAUUUUCAGAAUAAGAUAAAUCACCUCUUAGGUGAAGUAUGCUAUCCUACCAAAUUAUGGAUGCCAAGUCUUUUCAAUAAGCAAAAAUCAAACUCCUAACUUCCAAUUACAAAAGAAAAUUCUUAUACCAAACAAGUUAUCAUCAGAGAACUUAUUCUGAUGCCCGAUUCUUAAUAGGCCCUAGAUGUUAGAAUAAGUUACUCAAUGAUAACCUAUUGGAUAUAAGGAUUUUCUUGUGUGAUUGCAAGCGAAGAGUUUGAUUUUUUACUCUGCAAAACUUUGGCAUCCAUGAUUUGAUAGAAUACCAUAUUUUAUCUAUGAGGUAAUUUAUCUUUUUCCUAGAGAUUUGGUACUCCGUUCUAAACAUUUGAUCAUACUUCUCAUCCACCAAAUACUAUAAGGUUUUUGAGGUAAUCAAAAGAAUAUACCAAACAAGAUGUUGAUGCAUGCAAAUAGGGCCUACUGAAAAUGAUAUAGCGAAUAGGAUGUUCAUGCAUCCAAACAAGGCCAAGUGAAUGUUGUUAAGAAAUAUCCAGUUCUUCACUUUCUCUAACAAAAUAACUCAUUAUCACUAGAUGGGAUAUAAAUGAAAAUUCAGAGAAACAUACAAAGAGAAAGUUUAGAAUGUACAAGCUAAGAGCUCAACAAUUUGGUUCACUUUGGUCUGCUUUUUGCUUGUCAGUGAUUUGAUUUUAGUUUAAGCUGCCACCUGACCUAUCUCGUGGUGAAUGUGCUGCAAAAGAACUGCCCACAAGAGAGGCAAACUCUAAUUUAGUUUAAGUGAUCUGCAUUUUGAGGGAAAUUACACUUCCUUUGAUGAUCCGUGAAGUUACUUGACACGUUUCCUAUAUUAUUUCCUUAACAACACUGUCUAAUUUGAGGAAUAGACAGUUUUAAUUGCACAAGAGUAUUACAAUUUACAAAUCAUGGGUAAGCGGAAUAGAGAAGAGUAAAGAAUUAAAUUCUAGGCAAACAAGAGAAGCUAGACAGAAAUAUGCAUACCGAAAAGACGUAAUAGAUGUUCAGCACCGUAUACAGUUGAAGGUGAGGCAUUAUCUCGAACUGCUUCGCGGUAUUGUUGCCGCUCCUUUUUAUAGAGAAGCAUCACAGGCAAUGCCUUGUCAAAAUAGCAUCUUAGACCUUUAAGAAUUUCCGCGACAGAUUCAGCAAUCCUUCACUCACAGAAAACACAAAUGUGCUAUAUCACCAAUGAAGCUCAUUAGAUCCGAACACACUAAACAGGCUAGCAAACCUAAAACAUAAAAAAUGUUAUAAUGCUCAUAAAAAAUGUUAUAAUGCUCACAAUAGAUUCACCAGCUCUAACCUACAAAUCCAACUCACCUUUUUCCAGUUGGUUUGGUAAAUUUUUGGAACAUAUCUAACACUGUUUUAGUCCUCGACUUUUAAAGUUUUAUUCGCAUUGAUAAAUCCUCAACUACAUGUCCUUCGACCAAAUAAAUUUUAAAAUUUGUGAAGCUAGUCUUAGAAGCUUUUCUAUCCCUUGCAUUACUAGUAGAUUCAUAGCCUCUAAAUUUUUGGGUAAUCACAUUCCUAAUUGUUCUUCUAGUUGCUCACUGAGCACCCAGUCACAAUAUGACAACCUAUCAAGAGAUAACACUAAUAUACAGUAUAAACUUCACUGAACCAAGCAAGCAAGCACAACAGCAUGGCAACAUAUUGCUGAUCUCUAACGAACAAGGCCAAUGAGCUUCCUACCUCCAAUCACAAAAGGCAUGAUAAACAAGAGAACAAGGCCAAUCAGCUUCCUACCUUCGGAUCAUCCCUGCUCCAGCCCUAGCCCGAGCUCGAAUUCCAUUGGCAGUGCCUUCCUAUUCCAGCCAUCCGGGUGGCCGCUAAUCUUCUGAAAGGUGAGCACGGGUAUUCUGGGGUGUCAUAGACCUCUGUUGCUCACCUUAAUUGGGUUCUACAAGGCUCUGAUUGUCUAAUUCGGAGAUGUCUCUACCGAUGACUUCUGGAACUAGGGUUCAAGUAGAGCCCCGGUGCGCUCCUCGGCCUCUAUUCGUGCUCCAAACAGCGAGCAUGGGCUUCGGCCCGUCGAGAACUAUCAGAGGGCAUUGCUGGUUGGUCUUGGAACCUUGCGGUGUUCGGUAAAGCAUCAUCUUUAUUGUUUUUAUAUUCAUAGUUGUUGUUAUUGGAUAGUGUAGGGGCUUUUAUGAAAAUUGGACAAUUCGGAUUGCCUCGGGCAGUAUGAGAUCGCUAUUUGUGAUCCCUGGGUGUCCAAGGUCCCAUGGCCUUCGCGAAGUCCAAUUCUAGUCUCGUUGCAUUUUUCGGCAAAAUCGCUGGCGGAACAUGACGGUUGAUGUGGGGUACACUUUUUAUUGAUGUGUAUGCCCUAGGUUUGUCGACGAGCCUUGUCAUCUGGCUGCUCUCGUUGCCUCAGGUAUUCCAAGACAACAAGUGAGCGGCGGAGGGUUUCGAUGCCGAAAACAGCAUUUCCAGAGACCCGAAACGGCAUUUUGUAUGUUAUUGUAUUUAUAUCUCACUUCAGCAUAUGUUUGUUAUCCGAACACCUAAAUUGGUGUGUUUUGGGACAACAGGUGACUUAAGGUGUACAUCAGUACAUUCCAAGGUAUUUUAAUGGGUACGGGAGUGUUCCGAGAGACUUUCCGAAAAUUCUGGUGGUUCCAAAGUUGUGUUUGGUAUUUUGAGCCAACUAGGUUGGACCUUAACUGGGUGAGUCUUUCGUAGGUCCGGUCGACAUCCAGCACGCCUUGGGUGUUAGGUGUUGUGGCAGUUUCAGAUGUGUGCUUCGAUCCGAAGUCGGUGCAGUGAUGUUAGCUCGGUGAUGUUCUUCCCUCACUGCAUUUCAUUGUUUUCACACAUUAUUUGGUAAGCACUACACCACUAGACUUCCAUUUAUGUUGCACUACUUCUGCUCUCUCAUGAUUUAGUAGUAGAAUGGUGCCUAACAAUAUUUUUCGCAUGACCUCUAUCUGUGGGACCUGAUUGAUCCGUGACUAUUGAGUUUGGUGAUACAUAGAGGAUAUGAUUUUGGACAGAUAUCUAUUGUUGGCUUAUUCUCGGCUAUUCGCCGCCUCGUUGACUAUUGAACAUUUUGUAUCUAUUGUCACAGCUCAUGUAGUAGCAUGCCACAUAUACCAGCAGUUUGGCCAUCACAACGGUGUUCUUUUCCAAGAAAGUGGUCGUUUAUCCGACCUUGAACCCUUUGUAAGGUACUAGUUAGGGUUAUGUGCCGGUAGGUGAGCAUAUUGUGGCAUUGCCUGAGGUCUUUAGACCAAUGUGGUGAGGUGUACGAGUAUCUGUCUUUCAUUACGGUUAAUGCAUAUAUACAAUGUUGUUGCUUUACAGUAGCGGUAGGUGCUUACUAUUGUUUAUAUUUAUUGUUCUUCACUUGCUAUUGUGCUUGUAUAUCUAUCUCUCAUUUUUAGUUAUAUUCUACUUGGCAAUGUGUACACUCGCCCCCGUCGGCUUGCGAUACCUAUUGGAAGACCCCUUGUAGGUUUAUCACUUCCCUCCAUUUUGGUGGAUCUUGGUGGUGAGACUCGGGACGAUGCAUGAGGCACGGUAGCUAAUGAGCCUAGAGGUCCAGAUCAUAUGUCACUAGAUUCGAUUACUCUAAUCCUUACCCUAUUCUCUUAUUUGAUAAUAAGUUAGACUGUCGUGGUUCAGUUAUCUGAUUUUCUGAAUGAUUUAGUUAUGAUUGUUUAUAUUAUCUAUCAUACGUUGACCAGUGAGUAUAGCUUGCCUUUGACGGCUUACAACACCUACUAGAAAAAAUGUAUACAUUCACUGAACCAAGCAAGCAAGCACAACAGCAUGGCACCAUAUUUCUAGAUCUCUAACGAACAAGGCCAAUGAGCUUCCUACCUCCAAUCGUAAAAGGUAUGAUAAACAAGAGAACAAGGCCAACGAGCUUCCUACCUCCAGAUCAUCCCUGCUCCAACCCUAGCCCGAGCUUAAGUUCCAUUGGCAGUGUCUUUGUAAAGAAGUGAAUUCUCGAAAUCCGAGGAUUAGGCAUCGUUUAGAACCGACUAGUUGUCGAGUUGGUAGACUUCGGAAAGUCCGAAGGUGAUUAAAUGCAUGAAGUGCAUUAAGAAAAGGUCCGCGAGAACAGCAGUGCAAAUCUGCACUGGAGCAUAAUUGCUCUCGGGGACCGGUCCCUGGCAGGGAGGGACCGGUCCCAUCAGGCUGGGCUGGCGGGGAUCCUUGAUGCAACCGGUCUCUGGCGGAGAGGAACCGGUCCCCGAACAUUACUCCAGCGAGAAUAGCCGAAAUUUGGCUAAGUCCCGAAAAUCCAACUCUCGGGAACCGGCCUCUUAGACAAUGACCGGUCUCCCGGGGACUGGUCUCUCAAGCAGGAACCGGUUCCCGAACGCAAAAUCCCCUCUGCCCGAGAUGGAAGGCUCUCGGGGACCGGUCUCUCCGACCUGGGACCAGUCCCUCACUGCGAAAAUGCCCAGUGAGGGCUGCUGCAGAGGAUGGAAAGUUGAGUGAGCUAUCUGCAAAAUGGCCUAUAUGAGAGGUGGGGGACCCCUCUCUUCCUCUCAUUUGCUCUCUCUCCCUCUCACACUCUUUCUCUCUCUCUCUCUAGAACGAAAGGAAAAGAAAAAGAGAAGGAGAAGAAGAGAAAGAAGGAAAAGAAGAAGAAAAGGAAGGAGAAGACCAAGAAGAAGAGAAGAUCAUCUUCUUCCCUUUCUCCUUCAAGCUAGAGCAAGCUUGGAGCUUUGUAUAGAAGUAAGCUUCAAAACCAUCCAUGGUGGAUUUCUUGAGAUUGGGUUUUAUUGCUUAGAAAUGGUUCGAAUGGAACCUAGAGGAGAUAAAUAGAUGGUUCGAGCUCGUAAUUGAAGCUCGCACCAUGGAUUUCCCCAUCGUUGCCAACCUAGGGCACGGAUUCGGGAUUUUUGGAAAUCUAGGGUUUUGAUCUAUUUUAAUAGGUUGUAAACCUAAUUGCUAGGUCUCGGAACGCGUCGGCGAAGACGGUUCGUCGAUACAACGAGCGGGUGCGAAGAUAUCGCCGAAUAAAGCGCUUAAGGGUUCGGAUCGACCCGAGAAGUCGAGGCGUCGACCAAGGACUACGAAAUCAAGUUUUCUACCGUCACGGCAUCACCAAGAGGUGGGUGGUGACCAUCCCAAAGCAAUCGGGCUCCCUCUUAUGCCUUAGUAUUUUAAGACCUUGCAUCUUGUGUUCACAUGCAUUAUAGGAUGAUGAUGCAUUGCCUUUCCUUAUGCUUUCCUAGCUGAUAUCAUAUUAUGCAUUAGUUGCUGGAUAUAGGGGAUUGAUGAGGAUUGGGUCGAGACUUGUAAUCCUAUAGUUCAGAGAUGAAACAAAAGAACGAGUGGCAUCUAGUUGUAAUAAACAAAGAACAAGUGGCAUAUGUGUGAGUCGUAGCAUAUAUGAAACCCAUUGACUAUGGUGAUAGUAGCCCUAGAGGAUAGAGUGCCCUUGAGGUGGGAGAAUUAGAUCAUACUCAUUGUCUGUUCCCAACUUGUGAUGUUCGCUCCACACAAGUAGUGCGCUCCGGAGUCGGUCACGAGGGAUGGCCUAUUUGGGGUCCCGUGGGAUAGGAAUGGCCUAUUUGGGGUCCCGAGGGAUGGCCUAUGUGGGGUCCCGCAGACGGUCUCGGAUUCGUAGUUAUCGAGACGGCUAUGUGAGUAGUGGGCGAAUCCUUGAAUGAGCCACGAGAUUAAUGAACAAGUAAAUAGCCUUACUUCUUGGACAUAUGAAGAGCUAGUUGAUUAUCCAUUUCAUUGUGCAUGCAUUCUUCAUAUACAUGAUUCGGGCACAAUAGUGUAGCUUUAAUAUUCUGUUAUUACAGCCUUGUAUACCUAUCUAUCUGUUUAUCUACUUGUGCCCACUUGGAGCUAGUGGGGAGACCGGCGGAGUCGGCAGCUGAACCCACUGGGAACUAUGAAAGAUAGUUCUCACCCCACUCUUUUCAGGUUCGAGCUCGGGUGUCCCCGGCGAGCGCGAGGAUCGUGGUAAAGGCUUAGCGCCCUAGUUGCAUUAGCUAUCUACCCAUUUUAUAUUAGCUCUACCAUGUACUUAUGUUUGAGAGUAGAUGUUGUAUAGGGUGAGGUUCGAGAAUGCUUGUACAUAUGUUUUGGAAGAAUGUAAAAGAUAGAAUUAAAUGUAUUAAGUUGAAUGAAUGUAAUAGAUAGAACUUUCUCUCUUUAUUUACUUGUAUGUCUCAUACUUGUAUCUUGCUCUUGUUUGUUGGCACUGGUGGUGCUCCUUGUGAUCGUGUAUCUAUGAAUUGAUCUCCUGGGUAAAUUCUUAUACAUGGUCAGUUGGCUUAGCCUUGGGUGGACAGGGGAGGUCCUGUCCUUUCGGCGUCUGUUUGACGCGCCCGGACCGGACCAAAUUGGUAGCAGUCUCGGGGCAUGACAAAUAAAAGUGGUAUCAGAGCAUUAAGAGCAAGUAAAGAGAGAGUCUAUGAUGACCUAGGAGACCCUAGGUUGGUAAACCCUAAGAUUGUAGGGGCGUGAGUGAACGUGAACUCAUGGCGGUGGCGGAGGCUAAUCGAUUGUGUCGGAGUUGAUGUUAUGUCUCUAGCUGUGAAUAGAGACGGAUUCAAGUGACGCUAGUUUCUUGGCUCGUAGUGGUUGUGUCGGCGGCCGACGACACGACGCUAAGAGUCCAGCACUAGAGCACUUGUAUGCUUCCGCCCGAUUUUAUUGUCGAGUCAUUUAAUUUCGCAAACGUUAAGAGAUUGUCAGAUUAAGAUAACUAACCGAGUUGCUGCUUUUCAGGAGCAAAUGUCCCCAAGACGGUACGUACGUAGGUCUGUUCCGGUACCGCCUUCCGCAGUGCCCGAGCAGCCAAGAUCGGAGGAAGUGCUGGAACUGCGUGAGCAGGUCGCUGCGAUGUUGGGCGCGAUGCAGCGCCAGGAGGCUCGGUUCGAGCAGCUCCACCCGCACCUUCGGCGCGCGCGCCGGUAGCGGCUAAGGGUGAGAGCAUAGCGGCGGUUCCGGUGGCUGCCUGUCCCCCGCAGGCAAGUGCACCUCUGACAGCUUCGGGUUCAGCGACACCUGAUACGACGGCCGAGGAAGUGGAGCGGAAGCGUGCGCUGACGGCCCUAAUGAAAUUCCUGAAGUUUAAGCCACCAACCUUUGAAGGGGGAAAGGUGGAGCCGUCGGUGGUGGAGUCUUGGAUUGACUCUAUUGAGACCCUCUUCGAGGACCUAUAUGCCUCGGAGAAGGACAAGGUACCCCUCGCCACCCAUUGCCUCGAGAAGGCGGCGAAGGUGUGGUGGAAGCGGUUUAAGCGGAAUCGACCCUCUGGCCUUCCACCAAUGCUCUGGGAGGAGUUUAAGAAGGAAAUGUUUGGAAACUACUUCCCUGACACCGAGAAGGGGAAGUUGAAGAAGAGGUUUCGCAAAUUGAGACAGGGAGAUCGUUCGGUGGCAGACUACGAGCAGGAGUUCUCCCAUAUUAUAGACUGUGUCCCAGACGUGGUUAAAGAUGACGGGGACAGGGCCGAAUGGUUCUUGCGGGGACUUCGGCCGUGGAUAUAUCGGGUGGCGCAGUUGUUCAAGCUCACGACUUUCGCCGAAGUUUUUGACAGGGCACUGUGGGCGGAGCAUGGAGAUGCCCACGUGCGGGAGGAGCGUGAGCUGCUGGCAGGACCCCAAAACAAGGGGAGGAAGCAAUCGGGCGGCGGUUCGGGAGGGGGACAAUCUAGUUCCAGGAAACCCCUUAAGUAUCCGCGGUCGCAGUCGUGGGGCCGUAGGCCGCAGCAAUGUGUUAUCUGUGGAGGCCAGGUUCAUCGAGCACCACAGUGUAAGCAACGUCAAGGUAAAUGCUACGACUGCGGACAGGAAGGGCACAUAAGCUGCGACUGUCCAACAAGGGCCUCGUUUACUCCGUCAGCUGCGUCGACUCCAACACCCCAGCCUCAUCAUGGAGAGGCUCCAUAUAUUCUUGUAUGAGGGGGCGGGUAUUCGCCACUCAGGCCCAAGCCGAGGAGUCUACCCAAGCCGAGGAGCCUAACGUCGUGGCAGGUAUGGUUCUAAUUAACGGAGUUCGCUCCAGGGCUAUGUUCGAUACAAGUGCCACGCAUUCGUUCAUUAGUAGAGCAUUUGCACGCAUGCAUGACAUACAUAUAGAAGCAAGUGGCAAGUGGCGAGUUGAAGGCCCCGAGUCGUCAUUCAACACCUACACAGAAUGCCCGUCGUGCCCAGUACAAGUAGGCGACUGGAUAAUGCCCACCCGGAUGUUGGAACUCAGUAAACUGGAGGCAUAUGACGUCAUUUUGGGCAUGGACUGGCUCUCGAAGUAUUACGCCACGAUCGAUUGUAAGAAUAGAUUGAUCACCUUUCGGGAGCCAGGACAGAAGGAGUUCGUCUAUCGAGCUUGUCGAAGCUCUUGCUUCGUCGCGACGGUAUCAGCGACGAGAGCUAGGAAGAUGGUCAACGGCGGCUGCGUAGCAUUUUUGGCGACCGUCGUGGAAGUGGACCGAGUGGCUCCGAACUUAGAAGAUCUAUCGGUGGUGCGGGAAUUCCCGGAUGUAUUUCCCGCGGAGUUACCGGGGAUGCCGCCGGAUCGGGAGAUUAAGUUCGUUAUAGACUUGGUCCCCGGGACGGCGCCGAUCUCAAAGGCCCCAUACCGCAUGGCGCCGACAGAGUUAAGGGAACUGAGGGAUCAGUUGCAAGAUCUCCUCGACAAGGGGUUUAUCAGGCCGAGUGUGUCGCCGUGGGGAGCCCCGGUGUUGUUCGUGCGCAAGAAGGAUAGCUCGUUUCGACUCUGCGUGGAUUAUCGGGAGUUGAAUAGGGUCACGAUAAAGAACAAGUACCCGUUGCCCCGAAUCGACGACUUAUUUGAUCAGUUACAGGGGUCACGAGUGUACUCGAAGAUAGACCUACAAUCCGGCUAUCAUCAGUUAAAGAUUAAGUCGGAGGAUGUUCAGAAGACCGCGUUUCGCACGCGGUAUGGACACUACGAAUACACGGUUAUGCCUUUCGGGCUCACUAAUGCCCCGGCAGCAUUCAUGGAUCUAAUGAACCGUGUGUUCAAAGCAUGCUUGGACCGAUUUGUCGUGGUCUUCAUAGACGACAUCUUGGUCUAUUCGCGGAGUGACGAGGAGCACGCGGAGCAUUUGCUGAUAGUACUUCAAAUCCUUCGGGAAGAGAAGCUGUUCGCAAAGUUAAAGAAAUGUGACUUCUAGCUUCGAGAGGUUGCCUUUCUGGGGCAUGUGAUUUUCGGGGCAUGUGAUUUUCGAGGGCGGUGUUUCGGUUGACCCGAGGAAAGUCGAAGCAGUUCAGAAUUGGCCGCGUCCAACGAACGUCACGGAGGUCCGAAGCUUCAUAGGCUUAGCGGGCUACUAUCGACGGUUUGUGGAGGGUUUUUCGAAGAUUGUGACUCCGCUUACCAGUCUGACGCAGAAGGGCGUCAAGUUUAUUUGAAGCGACGAAUGUGACCAAAACUUCAACGAGUUGAAGAAAAGGUUAACGUCGGCUCCGAUACUCGCCUUACCGGUGCAGGGCGAGGACUUUGUGGUCUAUAAUGAUGCAUCCCAUCUGGAUUUGGGGUGUGUCCUGAUGCAAGGCGGGAGAGUGAUAGCCUAUGCAUCCCGUAAAUUAAAAGACCACGAGAAGAAUUACCCCAUUCAUGACUUGGAGUUGGCGGCGGUGAUCUUUGCGUUGAAGCUGUGAAGGCACUACCUAUACGGUGCGCACUGCGAGAUCUACACCGACCACAAAAGUCUGAAAUAUUUAUUUACCCAGAAGGAGUUAAACAUGCGGCAGAGGCGGUGGUUAGAGUUACUGAAGGACUACGAUGUCAAUAUUCUCUACCACCCCGGCAAAGGAAAUGUGGUCGCGGAUGCGCUUAGUAGAAAGUCGGCGAAGAACCUCGCUUUUGAUGUUACCCAGCAAACACCCCUAUGGCUGGAUAUGGAGCGACUGGACCUUGAAGUGGUCGCUCCCGAGGUUCCGACUCAGUUGAUGGCUCCGUUGUUCAACCGACCUUAUUGGAGAGGAUCAAGAAUUUGCAACCUGCAGACCCGAGUCUCCAAAAGGUGCGGCGCAACAUCGAGGAAGGUCGAGGCGGCGACUUCAGUGUGGACGCCGGUGGCCUGCUUCGGUUCCAAAACUGUUGGUGUGCCCGUGAAUGAAAAGCUUCGCAAGUUAAUCUUGCAAGAAGCCCACCGGUCUCCAUACGCUGAUCACCCGUGCGGCACCAAGAUGUAUCAUGAGUUGAGAGCACUCUAUUGGUGGCCGGGGAUGAAAGUUGAUAUUGGGCGCUUCGUGGCGAAAUGUUUGACUUGUCAGCAAGUGAAAGCAGAGCGCCGGUUUCCAACGGAAAAGCUUCAAAGCCUACCAAUCCCCGUCUGGAAAUGGGAGGAUAUCCAUGGAUUUCGUCGUCGGAUUGCCUCGCUCGACAAAGGGCCACGACGCAAUAUGGGUGAUUGUGGACCGCUUGACGAAGUCAGCACACUUUUUACCGAUCCACACCACCUGGGCGGGAGAUAAGUUGGCGCAGGUAUACCUUGAUAAGGUAGUGAGGCUACACGGGGUAGCGAAGUCGAUUGUGUCGGAUAGGGACCCCAAGUUCACUUCACAUUUCUGGAAAAGCCUACAGGAGGCCCUUGGCACACGGCUCGACUUCAGCACUGCAUUUCAUUCCCAGACAGACGACUAUUCAAACUCUGGAGGAUAUGUUGCGAGCCUGUGUUAUCGACUACAAAGGAGGCUGGUGUAAGUACUUACCAAUAGCCGAGUUCGCCUACAACAACAGUUAUCAUGCUAGUGUGGAGAUGGCACCGUUCGAGGCUCUUAAUGGGCGAAAGUGUCGAUCUCCCAUUUAUUGGAGCGAUGUGGGCGAGCGCACGAAAUUCGGCCCCGAUGUGUUGCGAGAGGCGGAAGAGAAGGUCCGCCUUGCUCGCAAAAGGUUACUCACGGCGCAGUCUCGACAGCAAAGUUAUGCAGAUAGGCGCCGACGAGAUCUGGAGUUUGCGGUGGGCGAUCGCGUUUUCUUGAAGGUUUCGCCUAUGAGGGGCGUUAAACAAUUUAGAGUUCGGGGAAAGCUAAGUCCCCGAUACAUUGGCCCCUAUGAGAUCUUGGAGCGGAUUGGGACGGUGGCUUAUCGACUCGCGUUGCCGUCGAAACUUGCAGAUGUGCAUAAUGUAUUCCACGUCUCCAAUCUUCGCAAGUACAUACCUGAUCCCGAGCACGCAAUGUUGUAUGAACCGCCGGAGCUUCAGGAAGACCUCAGCUACGAGUUUCCGGUGGCAAUUACAGCUCGUGAAGUGCGCAAGUUAAGGAAUCGAGAAAUUCUCUAUGUUCGAGUUCGGUGGAGCAAUCAUAGCAAUCGCGAAGCCACCUUGGAGCUCGAGGAGGAGAUGAAAGCGAAUCACCCACACUUGUUCGAGGAUUAAGUUGAGGUACGAGUUUAGAAUUUAAAGUUCUAAGUAAGUUUUAUGAUAUCGAGUUCGUUUCGAGGACGAAACUCUUUUAAGGUGGGGAGGAUGUAAGGAAGUGAAUUCUCGAAAUCCGAGAAUUAGACUUCGUUUAGAACCGACUAGUUGUCGAGUGGGUAGGCUUCGGAAAGUCCGAAGAUGAUUAAAUGCAUGAAGUGCAUUAAGGAAAGGUCCGCGAGAGCAGCAGUGCAAAUCUGCACUGGAGCAUAAUUGCUCUCGGGGACCGGUCCUAUCAGGCUGGGCUAGCGGGGAUCCUUGAUGCAACCGGUCUCUGGCGGAGAGGAACCAGUCCCCGAACGUUACCCCAGCGAGAAUAGCCGAAAUUUGGCUAAGUCCCGAAAAUCCAACUCUCGGGAACCGAUCUCUCGGACAAGGACCGGUCUCUCGAGGACCGGUCUCUCAAGCAGGAACCGGUUCCCGAACGCGAAAUCCCCUCUGCCCAAGAUAGAAGGCUCUCGGGGACCGGUCUCUCCGACCUGGGACCGGUCCCUCACUGCGAAAAUGCCCAGUGAGGGCUGCUGCAGAGGAUGGAAAGUUGAGGGGGCUAUCUGCAAAAUGGCAUAUAUGAGAGGUGGGGGACCCCUCUCUUCCUCUCAUUUGCUCUCUCCCUCUCACACUCUUUCUCUCUCUCUCUAGAACGAAAGGAAAAGAAGAAUAGAAGGAGAAGAAGAGAAAGAAGGAAAAGAAGAAGAAAAGGAAGGAAAAGACCAAGAAGAAGAAGAAGAUCAUCUUCUUCCCUUUUUCCUUCAAGCUAGAGCAAGCUUGGAGCUUUGUAUAGAAGUAAGCUUCAAAACCAUCCAUGGAGGAUUUCUUGAGAUUGGGUUUUAUUGCUUAGAUAUGGUUCGAAUGGAACCUAGAGGAGAUAAAUAGAUGGUUCGAGCUCGCAUUUGAAGCUCGCACCAUGGAUUUCCCCAUCAUUGCCAACCUAGGGCACGGAUUCGGGAUUUUUGGAAAUCUAGGGUUUUGAUCUAUUUUAAUAGAUUGUAAACCUAAUUGCUAGGUCUCGGAACGCGUCGGCGAAGACGGUUCGUCGAUACGACGAGCGGGUGCGAAGAUAUCGCCGAAUCAAGCGCUUAAGGGUUCGGAUCGACCCGAGAAGUCGAGGCGUCGACCAAGGACUACGAAAUCAAGUUUUCUACCGUCACGGCAUCACCAAGAGGUGGGUGGUGACCAUCCCGAAGCAAUUAGGCUCCCUCUUAUGUCUUAGUAUUUUAAGACCUUGCAUCUUCUGUUCACAUGCAUUAUAGAAUGAUGGUGCAUUGCCUUUCCUUAUGCUUUCCUAGCUGAUAUCAUAUUAUGCAUUAGUUGCUGGAUAUAGGGGAUUGAUGAGGAUUGGGUCGAGACUUGUAAUCCUAUAGUGCAGAGAUGAAACAAAAGAACGAGUGGCAUCUAGUUGUAAUAAACAAAGAACGAGUGGCAUAUGUGAGUCGUAGCAUAUAUGAAACCCAUUGACUAUGGUGAUAGUAGCCCUAGAGGAUAGGGUGCCCUUGAGGUGGGAGAAUUGGAUCAUACUCAUUGUCUGUUCCCAACUUGUGAUGGUCGCUCCACACAAGUAGUGCGCUCCGGAGUCGGUCACGAGGGAUGGCCUAUUUGGGGUCCCGUGGAAUAGGGAUGGCCUAUUUGGGGUCCCGAGGGAUGGCCUAUGUGGGCUCCCGCAGACGGUCUCGGAUUCGCAGUUAUCGAAACGGCUAUGUGAGCAGUGGGCGAAUCCUUGAAUGAGCCACGAGAUUAAUGAACAAGUAAAUAACCUUACUUCUUGGACAUAUGAAGAGCUAGUUGAUUAUCCAUUUCAUUGUGCAUACAUUCUUCAUAUACAUGAUUCGGACACAGUAGUGUAGCUUUAAUAUUCUGUUAUUACAGCCUUGUAUACCUAUCUAUCUGUUUAUCUACUUGUGCCCACUUGGACCUAGUGGGGAGACCGGCGGAGUCGGCGGCCGAACCCACUGGGAACUAUGGAAGAUAGUUCUCACCCCACUCUUUUCAGGUUCGAGCUCGGGUGUCCCCGGCGAGCGCGAGGAUCGUGGUAAGGGCUUAGCACCCUAGUUGCAUUAGCUAUCUACCCAUUUUGUAUUAGCUCUACCCUGUACUUAUGUAUGAGAAUAGAUGUUGUAUAGGGUGAGGUUCGAGAAUGCUUGUACAUAUGUUUUGGAAGAAUGUAAAGAUGGAAUUAAAUGUAUUAAGUUGAAUGAAUGCAAUAGAUAAAACUUUCUCUCUUUAUUUACUUGUAUGUCUCAUACUUGUAUCUUGCUCUUGUUUGUUGGCACUGGUGGUGCUCCUUUUGAUCGUGUAUCUAUGAAUUGAUCUCCUGGGUAAAUUCUUAUACAUGGUCAGUUGGCUUAGCCUUGGGCGGACAGGGGAGGUCCUGUUCGUUCGGCGUCUGUUUGGCGCGCCCGAACCGGACCAAAUUGGUAGCGGUCUCGGGGCGUGACAGUCUUCCUGUUCCAGCCAUCCGGGUGGCCGCUGAUCUACUGAAAGAUGAGCACGAGUAUUCUAGGGUGUCGUAGACCUCUAUUGCUCACCUUAAUUGGGUUCUACGAGGCUCUGAUUGUCUAAUUCAGAGAUGUCUCUACCGAUGACUUCUGGAACUAAGGUUUAAGUAGAGCCCCGGUGCGCUCCUCGGCCUCCAUUCGUGCUCCAAACAGCGAGCAUAGGCUUCGGCCCGUCGAGAACUAUCAGCAAGCAUUGCUGGUUCGUCUUGGAACCUUGCGGCGUUUGGUAAAGCAUCAUCUUUAUUGUUUUUAUAUUCAUAGUUGUUGUUAUUGGAUAGUGUAGGGGCUUUUAUGAAAAUUGGACAAUUCAGAUUGCCUCGGGCAGUGUGAGAUCGCUAUUUGUGAUCCCUAGACUGGGUGUCCAAGGUCCCGUGGCCUUCGCGAAGUCCAAUUCUAGUUUCGUUUAGUUUUUCGGCAAAAUCGCUAGCGGAACACGACGGUUGAUGUGGGGUUCACUUUUUAUUGAUGUGAAUGCCCUAGGUUUGUCGACAAGCCUUGUCAGCUGGCUGCUCUCGUUGCCUCAGGUAUUCCAAGACAACAAGUGAGCGGCGGAGGGUUUCGAUGCCGAAAACAGCAUUUCCAGAGACCCGAAACGGCAUUUUGUAUGUUAUUGUAUUUAUAUGUCAAUUCAGCAUAUGUUUGUUAUCCGAACACCUAAAUUGGUGUGUUUUGGGACAACGGGUGACCUAAGGUGUACAUCAGUACAUUCCAGGGUAUUUCAGUGUGUACGGGAGUGUUCCGGGAGACUUUCCGAAAAUUCUGGUGGUUCCGAAGUUGUGUGUUUGGUGUUUUGAGCCGACUAGGUUGGACCUUAACUGGUAGCGUCUUUCGUAGGUCCGGUCGUCAAUCCAGCACGCCUUGGGUGUUAGGUGUUGUGGCAGUUUCAGAUGUGUGCUUCGAUCCGAAGUCGGUACAGUGAUGUUAGCUCAGUGACGUUCUUCCCUCACCGCUUUUCGUUGUCUUGACACAUUAUUUGUUAAGAACUACACCAUUAGACUUCCAUUUAUGUUGCUCUACUUCUGCUCUCUCAUGAUUUAGUAGUAGAAUGGUGCCUAACAAUAUUUUUCACAUGACCUCUAUCUGUGGGACCUAGUUGGUUGGUGACUAUGAGUUUGGUGAUACAUAGGUGAUACGAUUUUGGACAGAUAUCUAUUGUUGACUUAUUCUCGGCUAUUCACCACCUAAUUGACUAUUGAACAUUUUGCAUCGAUCGUCACAGCUGAUGUAGCAGCAUGUCACAAAUACGAGCAGUUUGGCCAUCACAACGGUGUUCUUUUCCGAGAAAGUGAUCGUUUAUCCGACCCUUGAGCCCUUUGCAAGGUGCUAGUUAGGGUUAUGUGCCGGUGUGUGAAUGUAUACUGUAUAAUAUUUUUUAUAUAAUCUGAUUAUCUCUUUUAUAUAUUGUUGAUUAUAUCUGUUAAAUUAUAUUUUAAAUUUCAAAUUAAGAAGAAAAUUUUGGAGCAUGUUAUAUUAUUGUAGACCAGAUGCAUGCAAUUUUUUUGAAGUGAAUAUGAGAGAAUAGAAAGGACACGUGUCGCCUCCAUACUCUAUGAUGUGAUGGAACUCUCUUUAAAUACAAAGUAUAGAUAUAGAUGCAUGCAAUUUUUUUGAAGUGAAUAUUGGCAAAUAGGGAGGACAUGUGUCGCCUACAUACUCCAUGAUAUGAUGGAACUCUCUUUUAAUAUAGAGUAUAGAUAGAUAUAGAUAAUAAUAUAUAAAGGAUAUUUAUAUACUUUUACCCGCAUUUAAGGAGAAAAUACCAUUUUAUGCACCCGGUGUGUAAGUAAACAUAGAUCAUAUUUAUUUAAUUAGAUUGUAAUUUUAUAAUAUUAAUUAUUAAAAAUCAUGAAAGGUUUAGUGCAGGCAAUGUUUAUACAUGAGUGGUUGCGAGGAGAAACUAUCUCACGCACCGGGUGUGUACUUAUAUCUUAUAUAUACCACAUGAUAAUUCUUAAAAAUCAUGAAAGGUUUAGUGCAGGCAAUGUUUAUACAUGAUGAAGAUCACGUCUAUUAAAUUAUAGUUUAAUUUUUUUAAUAAUUAAAAUUAUGUUUAGUAAAUGUUAUAUUUUAAUAAACCGGGUACAUGAAAUAUUCUUAAAGUUAAAGUGGAAGAAUUGAAGGGGACACAUGUCCCUUCCUAAUCCGCUGACAUGACCCAACUCUCUCGAGAGAAAAAGUAUAGAGAGAGGAAAAUUUUUUUGUUGCACCUAGUGAUCACUAAAGCUCCAUACACCUAGGGGUGUAAAACGGGCCGGGCGGCCCGUGGCCCGCCCGGCCCGGAACGGUUGCGGGCCCGGCCGUGGCCCAGCACGACCACUGUAGUACCCGGGUCGUGCCGGGCCGGCCCGGCUCUUCGGGCCGUGCUGGGCCGCAACCUGGGGCCCAACGGCCCGGCACGGCACGGCCCGAAACGGGCCUGGGCCGUACCGGGCCGAGGAGAAUCGGUGGCCCGGCACGGCACGGCCCGAUUGGGCUGUGCCAGCCGGGCCAGCACAGCCCGGAACCCCAGGCCCAAGGCAAGUUGCCUUGGGCCUGGGGUUUGAUCUCUCCCCAGGAGAUCUCCUCCCAAGGUUAUUUUGGUCCAAUGGACCAAAGAAAUUUGGUCCAUUGGACCAAGGUUUAAAGUGCCGUGGCACGGGGGCGUGCCGCUACGUCCUUGGCACGGUACGGCACGGGCACGCUUGCGUGCCGACACGUGGCACGCUUGCGUGCCGACAGAUACGCACGACCUCCUACUGGCACGCUUUGGCACGAAUUUAUUUAAGUUUUUUUGGUUCCAGUAAGCUUUUAUAAUGUUAUUUUGAAAGAUUUAGGCAAGCUAUUAUUAAUUUUUGCUAUGUAUAGCUUAUUAUACUCAUCAAUUAACAUGCAUGUAAGCAUUCUGUAUAUAAAGUACAACUAUACCUGAUGUAGAAUAUAAAUUAAAAUUCUUUUAUUUUUAUUUUUUUUUAUUUGAAAAGUACAACUAUACUUGCUGUAACAAUUGAAAAUUCUUUUGUUUUUAAUUUUUUUAUAAUUUAAAAAAUUAUAACAGAUAAAAUGAUAAAAAAUUUUAUUUUUUCUAAAAACGUUUCAAAAUCUAUAUAUUGAUUCGAUUAGGAAGUAUAUAAUAACUAGAACAACUAGAAUAGUACCGCAAUUACAUCCAUAUUUUUUUUAUUCUUUUAAAAAAUAUCUAAUCAAAAUUUGUUUAGGAGAUCAAUUUUUGUUCCCCUGAUUCAUCGAAAACUUCGCGGUGCGACAAAUUUUGACAAAAUAAUUUGCGAAGAAAAAAUAGAUGUCUAUGGUGAUUUUAGAGUUCUACUACAAUUAAAUUGAAGGUAGAGUCAUGGUAUGUACGAAGUAAACGUCGGACACUGAAGAGGAAGUAGACAAAGACUGUAGUGUUCUAGUCUAAGAAACUUAGGCCUCCUGAGACUAAGAGAAAUAUCUAGACACCUUCUACCGUACCUUGUAUAAAAGUUGAGUUCGUGUGUUAACGCUAUACCGGCACUAGACGCUAAGUUACUCCAAACGUGGAAAAGUAGUGGUCAUUAAUAAAGGAAGAUGUGUAAUUUAAAAUUGAAGCAAAAAAAAUGAAUUAUACGAAUUAUAUGUCAAAGAUUACGAAGCUAUUUACAAUGCUGUAUCCAAUCUGCCGAAAAUACGAGUCGUUCUGGACACCGAUAUGUAUACAGACAAUUAGGAUCACGCAGACUAGUCCUAGAAGUUGUCCAUAUGUACCAGAACACAAAUAAGAAAGACAAAGAAAAAAGGGAACGAACUCGUAGUAUAAUAGGAUUUAUGGAAGUCAGAAAGAAAGAAUCUCCUCUUUGGUUCUGCAGAUUAUCGUAUCGUCACCAAACCCUUAUAGCGUAAGUUAUCGAUCUAAUUAAACAAGACGUUCCUUUUAAACCGUUAACGUUCAUGGAGAUAACGUACCGUAUUAAACCAGGGAUCGGUCAGUCUUGUAAUAUCAUUCCCUUCUACAACUCCUAAGUAAUUAAUGAUAACUUCGUUUGUUCAUCAAAUCAGUACUACUCAACCAAUGUUCUAAUACAAUACCCCAACACACGAAAUAGAGUGAUUCGUCAAACACACUAUCAACGGUUGGUUAUGCUUAACUUAAGGCAACAAGUUCAUUGGAAUAUGGUAAAAUCUAAACAAACGUAACUUGACCGACUCCAUAACUCCAGCCAUAUUCUUACUGCACUGACUUUGGUUCUAUGUACCAUAAUAGUUCUACAAGAGAGAAACUUACGACCGUACUAGAUACAGAUAAUCCAUAAACAUAUAAACCGAUCAAGAGAACCUAGAACCGUUUGACAUGAAGUUUUGACAAUCCGUGUGCUCUUCGUUGUUUUAUCGAUCUCUCAAAAGUUCAAACUUCAAUAAAAAUAUUUUAAUUAGUAUAACACGCAUUUUUUCGUAAAGACAGCGCAGCUGUUCUCUCUCCAUUGAUACUUUUCAGUCCUAGGAAAAGAGAGACACGUUGUUCAAAUUUACAUGAUAAUUUAAAUAGUCUUUGUUAACAGAGUAACAGGUCUUCCUUACGCUCUUAAGUUAUUAACCGAAAUGUAUCAUCCCAUUGGUAGAGAAUUAAACUUUGGUGGUUGGACGAGUUUAGACCCUGGUUAAAAGACAAUUCCGACUGAUGAGGGACGACCUACAUAUUUGAAUCUACGUGAUAUGACGACUAAAAACUACGUUGUUUUAUUUGUCUUAUUUCACCUUAACAUUUACUACGGUUUAAUCGUAAUUUAGUGUAACAAAUAAAAUAAAAAUAAAAAUAAAAAUGAAAAUAAAAAUAAAAAAGACAAACGUCGUAGUUGACACCUUAGAACGUGUUUCUUGAUGACGAAAUGGAAAACCGUCCCCACGCAAAUGAAAUCCCUGGUGAAUGUGAGAAAAUUGGCUCCAUGACCGGGACAGUAUUCUAGGCUUCCUGUACAAGAUCGGAGUCCGAUUUAAAACCUUUAAACUUUUGGGAAGAGAUUACUCAUCAUAGAAUAUCAACGACACUAAAACACACGACUUACACUAUUACACAACGGAACUAUGUACACGACGUCCGCGAACAACAGGGUUUCGAACAAAAUCGACCAGCUAAUGGACGUGUUGUCUUACGUUGACAUAUAUAGAGAUAGGUGAGAAACGAGAAAUUUAUUACUACGAAGAUCAACAAACACGUCAGAAAAAACCCAAGUAGUAGUGGUACGUUCGUUGAACCGAAAGACCGAAGUUGUAUAAACGUGAAAUAUUUACAGAUAAACUGAGUACGUAAACAUAGUACCUUUUUUGUUGAGAACAAAGCGAUAACCUGAGACUUAGAUGAGACACGAAAAAUAUACCACCGAAAAAAUACGGGUAGGGUUCCUAAUUUCACGGGUAGCCGUGCCCGGCAUAGCACGGUCGUUCUAUAGCCAUGCUAUGUUGGAGGCACGGCUACUGUGUUGAGUUUUGGGAGAUAAAAACUUUAAUCAUUCAUUGAAAGAGUUAUUUCAAGUUUUCUAAACUAUUUUUAUGUAUUAUUUAUUAACCAUAUAAACAACGGCUUUUUUAUUUAUAAAAUACGGUAAUGCACAGCUAUGUAUAUAUAAAAAACACUAGCUCUACGUAGCCGUGCCGAGCUGUACAUGACACGGCCGUUCAAAAGUCGUGCCGGGGCACGGUGCUGUGAAUUUAGGAACCAGGUAGGAGAGAUAAUGGUAAUAAACCGUACUUCAUGAAAAAGACCAAAGAAGAAAAAAUAAAAAACCGAUUGAUCCAAUUAGAUCUGGGUUUAUAUUCUUCAUAGAGUCUCGAAUCUAGUACCGGACUCAAGGUGUUACCACAACGACGACCUAACUCUGAACGAGGAAAAGUCCAUUUGGAUAGACAGAAUCACGAACUAUACGGAUAGAUCCCCGCACCAACGUGUCAAUUCAUCAUCGAGACAAAACGUGGUACAAUAGACGUUGAAGAAAAAAUAACCAAUGAGAAGUACAAAUUAGGUCCCUUUUUACAGAUCUUGUACCUAUGUCAUAUUGUUUGGACUUCUCGGUUUAACAUGAGUACGACCAGAAGAAGAACGUAAUCCUGACGUACCUGUAGAUGCUCAAAACUGCUAGUGUCUACAUAUGUCUAUGGAAAGGGUCCAUAACGAGACAAAACAAACAAACACUAGUUUAAAAAUUACUUUUGUCUACCAGGAAGUAAGAAGGUGACAUAGACUAACAAUAAUAAUUCUAGUCUUGAACACGAAUUACGAUACUACGGUAAAAAAGAGUAAUAUUAAAGAGUGGUGAUAACAAUAAAGCAAUCGAUCUAGGUUUCUCUUAACAUGUACCGAAUCAAUGAAACAACUUCCCGUGUAACCGUACGUUAAUUAAAGAACAUUACUUACGGUGAGCUUAUUAUGUGGUAGUCCAGCCAAGGUGUUAGUUCAGUACGGAAAACGACGAAUCGGAUCAAAUCCUACGCAACAGGUUUGUAUGGACGAAAGUACGAAAACUUCCGAAACUUGAAGGAAUUCGCGAAAUCUUGAAGGGAGGAUACCAAGUUUUAUUACCACCUUAAACGAUAGCCUCUUAGGAAGAGGUUACAAUCAAGGGACAAGGGUGGUGGUAAAGUUUCGUAACCUCUUCCUUUUAAGAUCUCGUUAUAAUCUAAAAAAAAAAAAAAAAAAAAAAAAAAACCCGAGAGAUUUGGUACUUUCAUCCACGUAAACCAAUUGUGUAAGGGUUUGAUUCGGAAUGUCACCAAUUGGAGGAAGUGUUAUCGACAUUAGGCAGUCUUACCGGUUCUUGCUGAAAUCAUAACCUCUUACAACAACACAUAAUCUGACCAUCUGGACUAUCUAGGUACAACCGGAAAUCUAUGUAAUUAUAACUACAAAUUAAGUGUACUUUCACGAUGCUAUACAAUAAACCGAAUGGUUUAUAGAGAACAAGAUCUGUUUGUUCCAAAUAUCUCAGUUCUAUAAAAUACAACCUAUUUUACUUCUCCUAAAACCUCUCCUAACGGAUCAAAAUAAAUUCUGAACUAUCGAAAACACCACCAACUCGUAGAACAAGUGUGUACGGAUACGUCAGUUAAAGACGUAGACUCUUACUUAGUACGUGCCUCUAACAACAGACAACGACUAACACAUAGUGUAGACAUGAUAAAGGUCGUAUUGAAACUAGAUGAUAAACGAGUAGUUACUUUAAGAACAUUUUUUAAAUGUUUACCAUUUACAAACAAGAGAGGACUAGGGAGUUUGGACGAUAAUCGUAAACGGAUAUACGUAAAAAAAAAAAAUUCGUAGACUAUUUAAAGUGGACUAUUGUAGAAGGUUAGUUAUGAAAGCAAUUACAGUGUACGUCAAGGUUCUAGGAAGGAAAGAUCAACCUAAAUGUUAAAACCUGAACAAAAUGGAAUAUCGCUGGAAAUAAGUACUUUUCGUCGACGUUGUAGAACGAAAGUAUUUUUUUUUUUGGGGUGUACGAGACUUAAGUUGCAAAAGAAACGCGUCCAAUAGUAAAAAAACGUGAGACAAGUCAGACUAACCCAAAUACCAAAUAGUAGAAUAAAUCGUUACAGUAAACACACUACUAUAAUAGAAGAGAAUACACAACGAAAACCCACUAUAAAAAGACUUUGUCUUCAACUAGAGAAAACGGGAAACAUCAAUACGUUAAGAACAGAAAAUUCAAAAUUGAAUAUUAUACAAAGAGUAGCAAACUUGUGAACUAUAGGUCCUCGUGCUAAAAUGAUGACAACCCCAUAAUGAACCAUACCGCCGUAGAGUGUCCCCCUGUUACGUAGGACGAUAAAGUUUCCAUCAUUUAACGUAAAAUUUCGAAAACAUAGUGAUAGGCAUUCACAGGUUACAGUGACUUUACGACAAGUCAGUGUAAAAAAACACGUUUUAGUUGGUGUUUUAAGAACAAACACAUAGACGACAUAAAAAAACUGACGGAAAAAAUUCUCUAACUUUCUUCUACAAACAUCAAGAAACAUUAUACCUACUAGUGGAAUCAAGAAAACGAACGUAGUGUUGAGGAAUCCUGUUAAAGUGUAAAAUCGAAUAUUUAUAAAAACAUUGAUGAAUAAAUCUACGAAGUGGAGGUAUAACGAAGAGCCGAAGGAAGUAGGAAAGAACUGGACCUCAACGGUUGUUAAGACGUCCAUGAUGACGAAAGAUAACGAAACUUAAGGGUAGAAGAAUAGAAAGUAAACAAUUGAAUAAAAGAAUAGAAAUUGAACGUAGUGAUUUCAAAAUGAAUCACACGACUAAAAAGCGAUGUCAUAAUGGUUUUGGUACAGUACAAAGAAAUUUUCCUUCAAAAUUUUAUAAAUAUGGAAGACUUUAUUCUAAAUACCUAACUUGCCUAUCCGACUUAAACUGAAGUAACAAGUAAUCAGAAAAGUUAACAGUAUGUCAGUCGACGUAACUACCCUUAACCCGAAGAAAUACUUCCUAGUAGGGUAGGUAAUUGUUACUUCUACGAAAACCAUUAAUCAAAAGAAGAAUGUAGAACAUACCUAGAAAACAACCAUCUAACUUAAAAUGAAGAAACCAUAGUAUUAUAACAGUGAGAAAAGACAACUCGAAACGUCGUGAUCGUGGUUAUUUAUAUUAUCUCUCCUUAGUAAAAUAUAGUAAUAUACGGUUCUCACGAUCUUUCCGAAGAUCGUGGAGAAACAUUGGAAAAACGAGUCCCUAAAAAGCAAUCAGAAGUUUACAAAUAAAUUACUUCUCUUACAUCUUAGAGACUAACAACAUAAAAAAGAUUUUAGAAAUUCUACCGUGGGAAAUGAAUACUCUGUCCUGAAUUAUGGUCAGAUUUCACCAUUUAAUACUAUAUCUAUCCACCUUAACAAACAAACAAAAAAAAAAAAUUCAAGACCUUCUAAAUAUACGAAAACAUCAAAUUAGUCUUUGAAUAAAUUAAUUGACGAGAAAUUAACGGACAUCCCACUCUAGCCAGCGUCUUCACCACCUCUAUUACAUGAGCUUUCUCUUCCUAUAAGACAACGACGUCCUAGACGCGAGCCUGAACAACGGAAUCCAUAUAUCUUAUAAUAACUCCUUUACUCUCCAUACACAAAAGAUAGAAAUUGAUUGUCCUUCCUAAACUUACACAAAAAUUUUCCUGCUCCGUUUCUACGUUAACCAAAGUACCUGUGAAAACAUCUGGCUGAAAAGGUCAUGUAGUCGCCGUUCCCUCAAAUGUUACAUACCAAACAAUUGAGAACGAAAAAAUUAAAAAGGGAUAAAAAUUAAGGUAUACCAUUAACAAGCCGAUUCUAUAUAUUAUAUGACAAAACUAUGGAAAUUAAAAAUUCUUAUUACCUCGUUAAAUCUUCUGUCGUACCUCUAAUAGUAAAGAUUUAAAUCAGUGAUAUAUAAAAAGACUUUUUUUUAAAACAUAUAAUACAUAUUAUACAUGAAAUGUACAUGUAAACAGAAAGAUACUACUAAAUGUGUACAUAUAUGGUAACAAAACUAAGAAGAGAACAAAGAAAACUUACUAUUGUUACUUCACUUACUUAGCCCUACCCAUCGUAAAUAGUUUUUUUUUCUAAAAACAUUUGUUGUUGUAUAGGAUGAAGGGAUACUACUGAUUGUGUGCGGGCACAGGACCAGAUCUGGUAUCAGUUAGAGUGGGUUGACGAAUAUAAUAUGAAGAGCCUCGACCGUAACAAAAUUGACUUGAUAACCUGAUUUGAGUUCUAUAGAUAUACUGGAUUGAGUUCUAUAGACAUACUGGAAAGAUCAAGGAUAACCGAAAAAAGUCCUCUUUAACAGUUUGAGUUCGGUUGAAUGUCUACUAGUUUUGGCGUUACACCCCGUCCAAGACAUAAAGAGAAAGUCAUAAAAGAAGAGGAAUCUAUAAAAUAUCGAAGGAAAGGAAUCUUUAUUCUUAUAACUCCUUGAAACAAAAACUUCAAGUUAAACGAAACCUCGAUAAUCACAAUAAACGAAGAGAAAAGUCUACUACCUACCUUGUGUUAAUUUGUAACUACAGUGACGUGGUCCUCGUUAUUAACGAUAACGCAAUUAUAAAAACUUCCAACUCAUCAUUACGUAAAGAUAGUUGUUGGAGAACGUAAAAAAGCUAGGUACAACAUCUAAAAACUUCAAAGAUGAUAUAACAAAACUAUUUUUUAAGUAGUACGUCUGACUUAGUCUUCAUUACCGACGAGCUGAAGUUUAAGGCUGGUGAGUAAAACUUAACGUUAUGCACUCCGGACUAAAAUAAUACGACGCAUGAUAACGUGCUUUAGAUUAUAAUACCUCGUCCACUUAAGAUUAAUGUGAAGUAAUAAAUUGGAACUUUUUUCUUUUCUACCAUAGGUCGAUAUAUAAAAACGUUAGCACAUCUUAUGUCGGAAGAUCUCUAACCUAGCUUAGAGUUGAGGGACUUUAACACUUUCUACCCUAGAAACUUCAUCCCCUACCCCCUUAGUUACCACUGCUUAUACUACGUCUUCGAGAACAAGUCCGAAUACAGUUACAUCAGUGACCUCGUACGUAUCGUGAACCAUAAAGUGACUCGGACACGAGAAUACACGGAAAGGUCAACCACAACCCGGUCAAAUAUCAGAAAUAACAGCUUAUAUAUAUACCACGGGGAUAUACAGAGAUAAAUCCUCCAAUACGACUACCUAACAAGGAUAAAGAGGAAAGUACGAUAAAAAUUAAAACAACAAUGAAGGAUUUACUAUCAAACGAUGGAAUUUUAUAACGGAAGUUACACAUAUUUACUUCACCAGACAUUCCUUGCUUUGAAGAUAUCCCUACGAGGGGUGGUACUCUUCCCCAACUAGUGGUGUCGAAAUGUCAUAAUGACAUAAAUCUCGAGAACACGAGGAUAACAAAACACCUUUCCAAAAAGUUAACGACAAUUUACGGUAGUUAACGAAUAACAAAAGUCCUAACUUCAUACGACCGUGGUUUUUACCACUACGGGUCCUCGACGAAGUAUCAAUACGACAGAUAAAAGAGUUACUCCAUUAGUAAGAGACAUUCGAAUACGUUUAAACAAUACACGAGAUUAAAAUAAUAACAGAAUACGUCUAUUUCGUAUAUGGACAACGUUCAGGACGACGUCAUGGUUUCCCCAAUGACGUCAUACAUCUAGCACCCUGAGACCUCAAUACGAAUGUAGAGUAACAAGAUAGCGAAAGAGACCAAUCUUAUUAUUCUUAGGAAACGGGUGUAUAAAACUAUGAAGAUAGUGAAAGAAACCUCAAUACGAAUGUAGACCUUCAUGCACUAGAAGGUAGUCAUCAAGGUCAACUAAAAGUAUCUAACAAGACAAAUGUAUUUGUAUAUAACAAAGCAAAUGUAUUUUCGAAGGAAAGACACAUUACCUCUAGGAAAAAUAUUAUAAAAAACAAAAAGAAAUACAAAUACGACGUAUUACGGACCAGAGAAUGUCUAACAUCGAAACAACUAUUUUCAACUAGAAAAGGGUCAACUAAAGGUAACAAAAAGUCAAAUGUAUUUAUAAAGGAAAGACACAUUUCCUCUAGGGAAAGUAUAAAAGUAGGACGUAUGACGGAACGGAGAAAGUCUACAUCGAAAGAAGAAAAUAGUCAAUGAACUAUGAAAAGAUACGUCAUUGAUCAAAAAAAAGGGGAAGAAAGUAUAGCACUAUUACAAAAGAAAAAAAAAAAACCGAUCCAAUACCGUCCAAGACCUGUAGAGGUCUGUAAAUCUAACGAUUCUAUGGAAGCUCCCGCUUCAAGACGUCUACCCGUAUACUUAAUACCUUAGGUCUACCCACAUUCAAAAUUUAAAAUACUUACUUUAUCCUACUGAAUACGGUACGCUGACUUCUUUGCUUAGUAGGUACUAAAAACCUUUAAAGUCGUUCGAAUGUACCAAUUUCGCCGAUUUUGACUUAACUUUUAAGUACAGAGUAGUUUAAUCCUUUCCGUACGUGGGUGUGUUCGUAAUUUUAACACUUCGAAACAUCGUAAACUAUUAGAUAAGUGUAAAAACGUUUCUUAAUUAAAAGAACGACGUCAUAAUAACAGAAGAUUAACCUAUUCGAACGCAUAUAAGAAUAUACACGACAUACCUCCUUAAAUAGAAUGGGACGAGAUGGAAAAGAGAAGGACUUGUAGUUACCUGACUACUAGUUGUACAAGAGCAACGGCGGAACAAGAUAAUAACUUGUAGUUGUCUAAGUACUAGUUAUACUAACAACAUCAAACUUAAUUGGAUGUAUAUAAUAGUACUUAUAUUUUUAAAGAGUGUAAGAGUUAAAUAUAACGAAAACAUCCAUUCGAACAGGUACCCUAAGAAUAAAGAGCCCCCGCCAUACGUUUGGAAAAGUUGGCCUUUGUCACGACAACGACGAGACAACUAAUGUGAAAUGGGAGCAAACGGAUGACCUGGUUUACUAUUAGCAACGGUGGAAGUCCAUACAACUAAAAAAAAGUAAACGUCGUACAACGUACAGAAUAGUAAAAAAAAAAGUAAUUCAACGCGACUAUUUAUAUAUAAGUACCACGGUGAAUAAAUCCGUAAAUCCGUAAACAUGUAUUAUCGACGGCUUAGAGCAACCCAAGUUUGCCGUCUACAACUAUGACCAGAUGGACACAUAACAGGUGAACUCCACUGUUAGUCUCUUUGUCUUAUGAUGCGACUCUGAUCGAUGACACUUCAAUGAGGAACAUAAAACGGUCUUGCGAGACACCAUACAUUAAAUAUUAAGUCGAACCCUUUAGAUAUUUUAAUUAACCCAAGAAACCAUUAAACAAUGGUAUUAAUAAGAUGGAUUAGUUGAGAGAAACGUUCCAACGUUCUUGCUCAGUUUAAAUUCACAUGAUAGGGUAUAUAAAAUCUUAACUUUCUUUCUUUUGAUUAUAUUACUUCACGGGAAAUCUAAAUGGCUCAUUAUACUUAUUAAUGAACAGAAUCAGAUCCUUUGACAUCAAAUCCUACGUAGUACAAAAAAUGAGUGAUAAAGGAGGAAAUCUUAUCUUAGAAGAUUUCUUUAUAAGACUCUUUCUGCAUUCGUUGUAUUAAGACACCUUUAACUUCCGUAUAUUUCAAUAAAUAAGUAAACGUCAACUUCUCACAAGUUCAAACACCAGGGUCUAUGACCGGGGUCAGGUAUCUCGAACAUGGACUUCCAGUCAUAGUUUUCUGCUUCAAUCCAAAAGAAAGUUUUGAAAACCGUCAUAAUUUAGGAGACAAUAAAACAUACGAAAUUUUCUUUUUGGAACCACCUCUAGGCCUCUGUUCUCACUAGGUAAAUUACCACCUGACAAUAUGUAAUUCGCUUUUCAACCUAGGACAAGUAUACGUCUACUGGGUCAACCUACGGUUAGAAACGAAAGCGCUCGUUACGUGUUCCAAUUUUCAUAAACGUUACAUCAGAGGUAUAUAAAUAAAUAAACGAAUAAAUAAAUAAAAUCUCAUCACAUGUAACUCCCCUUAAUUCAAGGAUCAGGAACGUCCAAAGACUGUGUAGUACGUAUUCGACAGGGUGAUGUUCUUAGUCGCCGUUCCUUUUGUCAAGCAUAUCAAGAAUUACAACUACGUCAAAGCUACGUUACGCAUAAUUGACGUCGACGUAAAUACGAAGCUCUUCUCAUCGAAAACGUGUCGAAACAAAACUGAGAAGGAUUCCACUUAUCUGUCCAAAGUCACAAAAGUCAUCUCAGCCUGAAAGUAAAAAGCUUUGAGUCCACGACUUAUAAGGAACAUUUUCAUGGUCACUGGAACACGUCAAGCUAAUCACGGAGACCUACCAAUAAAACAUCGAAGAACGGAAAACCGAACAGCAAGUCUGUGCUAUACGUAUUAAGGACUUAGACGACUAGUUGCAUUGGUAACAUAAUAUAGUCUUUUUAUAGAAUUUUACCGGAUCCGAAAUCUCAUAAGUCUAAGAAUGUCUUUAAAGUUAAAUGGAUCAAUCCUACGGUUAACUCUUUGAGUCGCUCGGAAUCUCAAAAGUCGAAGAAUGUCUUUCACGAUAAACUCGAUCAAUCAUACUGUUUACUCUUUGAGUCGCGCGGAAUAUCAUAAGUCCAAAAAUGUCUUUCAAAUAACUGGAUCAAUCGGACUGUUUACACUAUGAGUCGCUCGGAAUCUAAUAAGACUAAGAAUGUCUUUCAACUAACUGUGAACAAUCGUAAGUGGGGAAUCUUUGAAUAACAAAAACUACGUUCCUAGACUGUAGAAAACAACAUUUGUUUGUUAAUCAAUGUCCUUUUAGUAAACUACACCCAUUCGUCCACUUUUCACUUACAGUAAAACAAAUAAGUACUAAGAUGAAAACGACAGGACGAUUAUUCUUUUCCAAUCAAAGUUGUUCCUCACUGGAAAACGAUCCCAAAACAAAAGUCCUAGAUGUACAAGGGGAAAAAAAAUAAUUCCAACUCUGCCCUCUCUUACCAUCGUAAGUUAAGUGAGUACCGGAAAAACUCAUAAAAACAUAUUUACUUGAAUCGACCUAAACACUUUAGUAAUCCCAAAUCUUAAACACGUGGACGCCCAUAAUGUUAGAAGGCGUAAUUUGGAAAAAGGUGAAUUUUCACGAUAUAAAGAUAAUAAAAAAAGUUCUUAUUCACGGCACAGUGCCCCAGCACGUCCUUUGAACGGCCGUGCCAUGCCGUGCCACACACGACUCGGCAAAUCUACGCACGGCCAGUUUUUUUAAGAACACACGGCUGUGUAUUAUCGUAUUUUAUAAAUAAAAAAAAUCGAUGUUUUAAAAGAACGAUAAACAAUACAGAAAAACAGUGAAGAAAACUUGAAAUAACUCGUAUAAACAACCACUAAAUUGCUUAUCGAUUAAAACUCAACACCGUAGCCGUUCCUAUCGUCACGGCGGGGCACGGCACGCCGUGCCCCGCACGGCACGGCACGGGGGUUCUUCCCCCGUGCCGUGUCCCCCCCAGAGCCUGGGGGGGAUACACGGAGCCGUGUACGGGGCACGGCGAGCUCUGUCUCGCCGUGCCCACGUACACGGCGCCGUGUCACGGCGGGCACGGUCGAAAAAAAAAAAAAAUCAAAAAAACCGAAAAAAAAAAAAACCAAAACAGAGAAAAAAAAACAAGAGACCCUAUGUCUCGGAAGCGGGCCGGUAGAUAUAACGGAAAACAAGUGAAAAGAAAAUAAAAAAACUGUAACACAACAGAAAAACAGUUGAAAAAAAAAAGAAAAACCGACUACGGAAAAAAAAAAAAACGGAAAACCGAAAAAGAAAACUGAAAAAGAAAAAAGAAAACAAUUUAAUUUUUAAUAUUAAAUUGAAGAAUAAAUUGUUAUAUUUUCAUUUAAAAAUCAACUAUUUAGACUAGGUAUGGCACCCCCCGCUUCGGGGGGCGUGCGGGGAGCCUACAGUCACCACCCGAUGCCCGAGCCCGGACAGCCGGGCUCGGGAGGCGAAGGUGGUGUCUGUAGGNGGGCCCGGCACAGCCCGGCCCGGAUAUUGGUCACAGGCCGAGCCGGGCCAGGCCCUAGCCCGUUUCGGUCCGAAAAAUGUGGGCUACACCCCUACAUACACCAUACAGUAUACAUAAUUUUUGUUGGAAUAUCUAAUAAUUAAUACCACAAAAUAAUAUAUGAUAUAAUAUGUACAAUAUAAAAUAUUUAAAUAAUUCAUUAUACUGUGAAAAUUUAUUUUUUAUGCACAUCUCCAGAGUUGGUUUAUAGUGCACCAAAUGCGUCCAAUCUUCUUUUUGGACAUGUUGCAUACUCUCAUUGGCUCCUUAAACAGUGAGGUGGCUCAAUAUAGAACCAUUUUCUUGAUGUGAUGGAAGUCCCAAAUUAUGUAUUCUAUAGAUUCAGAUAUAAAAUUUGGACUUUGAAUAUAAAUUUAAAUUGAAAUUCAAGAGUUAAAAACAUACAAUUUUGAAUUCAACAUUUCAGCUUAAACUUUUUGAGUUUAAAUUUUGUUAUUUUAGAUUUAUUUAGUUCUAUUUAAAUCACUAAGAAGUCCUUUGAAAUUAAACUCGAAUUUGAACUCAAGAGUUAAGAAUACAAUUUGAAAACAACAUUUGAGCUCAAAGUUUAAAUUUCAGUUUAAUUUUUAAAUUUAAAUUUAUUUAGUUUUAAUUAAAUCACUAGAAGUCCUUUCAAUUCAAAAUUAAACUCAAAUUUGAAUUUAAGAAUUAAGCAUGCAAUUUAAAACUUAAAUUGAUCUUAAAAUUUAAAAUUUAAAUUUAUUUUAAAAUUUAAAUUUAUUUAGGUUUAAUUAAAUUACUGAAAACCCUUUGAAUGACUCCUAUGGGUGUAGCUUGGAAAAUCUCGAACAACCUCGAUCCAUCAAUAUCACGUGAUCAAUAUCACGUGAGUGAAGGAGAUGCUCGAAAUUUAAACUCAACAUUGAAUUUAUAAUUAAAUUGUAAAAUUUCAAUUUAAUUUACAACUUCAACAUAAAAAAAUUUUUAGAUUUAUUAUUCAAAUUAAAAAUUUGAAUUCAACGACAUUCAAAUUUUGAACAACCAACAUAUAUAAUGAAUUUAAUGUAUGAAUUCUUUUUUAAGAAUUUCAAAAUCACAAUUUUCACAAGUUUCAUUUAUAUAUUUUGUUUUGUUUUCACAAAUUAGAGAGGGCAAUUCUGGGAAAUUGCAUAUAUCAUUACCUAUAUUACAGAAAAUCUAAUUAUUAAACCAAACAAUAUUUUAUAUUAUUAAUAAUCUAAGAUGAAAUUACUGUGCAAACAUAAUGCAAUAGUACUACAUUUAUUGUUCCAGGAAUGAGAUGCUCCUUAAUCUAGCAAUUCGUGGGAAUCUUUCAUAAUGCGAACCAAACACACCCUAACAGCAAUUAUACCAAAAAUGUGAAUAUCACCAGCUUAAAGAAGAAAAGCUCACUUAUAUACUAUAGUAAAUAAAAGAAGCCAAAACGAAUAUAAUCAGAUGCCAAAAAUAUACUCACAUGCCAUCUUUCUUUGUUCGGUAUUCUAAGUAUUUUUUGAGGAUAUCAUCAACAUUUGGGGAACGAGGUAGCUUGACAAGCUGCAAAAGCACAACUGUAUUGAUUAGAAUAAUUCCAUAUUAAGAGAGUUUAAAUAAGGGCAAAUUUAAAAACCACCCUUGUGGUUUCGCACUUUCUCACUUUAGUAUCCUGUGGUUUAAAGUGUAUCAAUUUAGUAUCCUAUGGUUUUAUUUUUCUCUUUUUGUCGGCUCCUCUAUUAACAUUUCGUUAAAUUAUAUACAAAAAACUUCAGAUAGUCCACCUAUGUUGAUUGAAUAUGCACUUUAGUACCUUUUAGUUUUAACUUUGUCGCUGAUUUAAUAAAAAAAAUUAGUGGAAGAGAAAAUAAAAAGAGAAAAAUAAAACCACAGAGUAGUAAUCGAUACAGUUUAAACCACAUGGUACCAAAGUGAGUAAGUGCAAAACCACGGGUUGUAUUUGAAGUUUUUCCUUAAAAUAAUAUGUUAGAAUUUAAUGAUAGUGUCUCCCAAGAUUAAGACAAUAUUAUGUUGCAAAAGAGAACGCCAAAAGAACUCUGAACAGCCUAAUUAACAUAGCAACUAAAGUGAGAAUGAAGACAAAUGUGAUCCUAAUGAAGAAGGUUAUAUCUGUAAUAAAGAUGACAUAGUUUCAGAAAUUAUUGGGAAAAAAAUAUAUAUCUUAAAUACAGGGUUUGAUGAAGAUAUAAGUCUAUAAGUUUAACAAGUAAAAUCUCCAUUUUGAUUUGCCUUGAUAGCUAUUAGCUCCAUUAUACGAGGUAAUAUGUUGAACUAGUAAAAAUCAUAUAUUCCUACUGUAAGUGCUACUCUUACUUGACUUUCUUAACUUCCGCUUGCUGACUGCAGGUCACUAUCUAAGGUACACAUUCCUAUUGAUAUGAAAAUGUGAUGUGAGAUACAAUUCAAAAAUGUUUUUGAAGAGGCACGUAAAACAUUGGUGAGAUAAGGGGUUGUUUGAUUCCUCAAAAAAUACCCCAGAAAAAAGUUUUCUGGCUGGAAAAAUAUUCUCCGUCCAUUUGGUUCCAAGAAAAAGUAGCUUUACUAUAAAAGUUUUUUUUCCCCUUGAAUUUCACCAAAAAGCUAUUACAAUCACUCUCAGAUCCUAGCCCGAUGCAGAUUUACAAUCUUUUUCUUAUUAGAUUAUGAUUAUAUACUUAUUAGAUUAGAAAAGAUAUAUUAUAUGGAAUAUCUACGAUAUUGGGAAUAUCUUUUAAUUUAUUCUAUUCUUAUUCAGUUCCUUUAUCAUAUUAGGAUUAUUAUAAUGAUUUUAAGCCUAUUAAUAAAAGACACUCCUUUAUUUUAUUAAUAAAGAAGUGAGUUCCUUUUAAUGGCUUCCAGCUCAGACUAAAUUAGAAGAGAAGGUCCCUCUUCCUCAUAGAGUGAAAAAGCAUAUCUAAUAGAGAUGUUAAAUAUAUCUAUCGGAAUUAAAGCCUAAGAAGUGGGAGAUCCUAAUCAAAGUCCCGUUUUGUUUUCUGAAUUUUCUUUUUGGAAAACAAAAACCAAGUUUCAAGCAAAAUACAUGGAAUUUCCCAGGAAAACAAUUUUCCACAAGGAUUGCCUAUGCCACCUUGCUGCCACGUGUCUAUGCUGAGGCCAUGCCAACACGUGGCACGGGGUCGUACCAAUACCGUAUGGACAAAAUGGUUUUCUUUUUGCAUUUUUUUUUAAAUGCUUUGCAGUUUCUUGGAGGUAAAAAGUUUCAUAAAAGAUUUUCCAUAAGUAAAAUAUUUUGAUCUUGUAAAUCUUCUUAACAUUUGGAGCAGUUAGUAAGCUUUCCUACAGCUGCUCCAAUGCAUAAUAAAAAUUGCAUAAUAGGACCAACUUUCAAGUAAAAGUAAAUAGAUAAAUACAAAUCAGAAGAUUUCCUCCAAUUUCUUUUAUCAUUUAAGUCUAGUGAAUUUUUCCCAUGGUAGUGUUUUCACUUGUGGUAAUGUUUUCCUACAAAUUUUUAUCAAAUUACAAUUUUGGUUUUCGUUUCAUGCGCAUACUUUCAUAAUAAAAUAUAGAAUAAUUUCUUUUACUUAUUAUGAUGUUAAUGACUCUAUUCCUGGUAAGUAGUGAAGGAUAUAAUAUAUAAACUAUUUUUAUAAUCAUUAUUAGUUAUAUUAAUAGAGUCUAAAAAACUAAAUUUUCAUGAUAAUUUAAUUAAAAAAAAGGUGCCAAAUGGCAAUGUGUGUGAAAGUGCUGGUGGCGUGCCACUCGCAUGGGGGGUUGCCGACAUUGGCAAGCCCUGUGCUCUCGCACCAUGUCGUGCGGCUGGCAACACGGGCCAUGCUACUAGCACGACAAUCCUUGAUUUUUCUACAAUUUUCCGAAGAACCAAACACACCCUAAAUAUGCUGCCUCUGUGUCCAUUCAAGGAGAAAUCAUUGCCUGCACCCGUGUAUCUAUAGAUCUCAUAUAUCGUAUAGUUAGCACCUCAUAUUUGAUGAUCAAUAUCUUAAAAUCAAAAUCUACUUUAGUAGAUGUGGCCUAUUUUAUUUAAAGAGUCUAUACAUAAAAAUUCAAAAUUUCUAAACACCUAUAGCCUCGGCAUUAGUGGUCCCAUAGGUCAACAAAACAGGGGGUCAUUGUUCAAUAUAUAAGAAAUCAGCACCCAAACUACAUAAAUUGCUGUAUAUAGAACUUUUGAAUAUCAUAGAACACAUCCUAUGAGUUAGAUUCUAUAUCUAAGAUCUAAACUCUAUAAUAGGGCUUUAAGGAGUGUAGUGUAUGAUAUCUAUGCAUACAGCGAGUGUGAAAUGGAAUAUGAACAUCCUAGAGAUAGGAGGGUUACAGCCUCGCAUAUGUGAGGACCUCUUUUUUUUCACCACCCAAGAGUCAGUGCGCUUUUUGUUACUUUCUUUUUUCGUCUAUAUAAUGGUUACUAUGUCCAUCGUUACAACACAGAAUAUUCAAUCCAAAAAUUUACGAGUCUUAAGGUUAGGUAGUGAAAUCAAGGCUUUCGAAGUUCAGGUAUCUAUUUCAAAAGCACUAUAAGGUUAGAUGGUAAAAUCAAUAGGUAGUCAAAUCAAAACAUUUUAAGUUAAGGUACCUAUUUAAAAAUACGUUGUAGUUCGGGUAAUGCCUAUAAAAACUUUAUUAGGAUAAAAACAAUUCAACAAAGUCAAUCAACUAUUUCAACUAAUCAACUUAUCUAAGAUUCCAUCCGAAAGAGAGAGGGAAAAAAAGAAGAAAAAAAAUUUGACAGAAGCAUGAUAUGAACUAAUCACCUCUUCUAUAAUUGCCAUCUUUAUGAAGGUGAUGAAUAAAAAAUAGAAUAGGAUUAUAUUUUAUUUUACUUAAUUUAUUACUUGUCGUAGGAAAUUGCAAAUUCCAUAUUUAGUGGGAUUAGUUUUCUUCGAAUUUCAAAAAUGGUCAGAUAGAAUCCUUCGUUUGGCAGAUUUGUUAGAUUCAAAUUUCAAAAAAAUAAAAGUUGUUUAGGGACGAGGUAGUAUUACUUGUACCAAGGAAUUUGUCAGGUUCAGAUCUAUUAUUAAUAAGGCCCACUAGGGCCUAUGUAGUCAAGUAUGAAUGAAUGAAAAUUUUGGAAAUUAGGGUUUUCCUAAUUGUCUUCUUCUUUCCUCUACUCGACCUGGCUUGGCCUUUAUCCUCUCUCUCCCUUUUUUCUCUCUAGGCAUGGAUUGGCUAAGUUUCCUUACCUCUCUCUCCUUUUAUUAUUUUAUUUCUUUAAGCAAUUUAAAGUUCUUUCGAACUUCGGAUUCAAUCAUAUCUACCACAAACUUUUCCAGAUAAUGUCUAUGGCACAAAUUCCAAUUAACAGGAAACUACACACUGGCAGAUGUACAACAAACUAAGAUAGCUGGCUGUUGCAUUACUUAUAAUUAUCGGAAUAGGAAAGGACAAGUGAAAGAUUUGAACUACCUUGCCCAGCUGCGUUACAAACUCCCAAUCAUCAACCAGCUGCUUCUUAAGGGCCAAAGGAAAUUGUGAUAUCAAAAGUUUCUCUGGUAAUCUUCUGUCCUUCUCCUGAAAUUAGCCAAAAGAGUGAAAUUUCAACUUGACACAAUUCUAUUCAAAGCAUAUAAAAAUCUCAGAUCAAGAUUCAGCAUAAGUAUAUUAAAUGCUAAUUGAUAAUAUUAUCUCCAAAAGACACAAAGCUAACAACAGAAAAACAAAAGUCGGCCCUCAUUAUCACAAACAUUCUAGAAAGGUGAAUAACAUGGCACCAACGUCUAUCGAUUAUAUUGCUGCUACAUCAAAUGCCCAAAUCUACUGUGUUCGAUCAAGAUUUCUCAGUGCUUUUUGGCAUGAGCAUUUCACUUUGCAGGGAAGUAAAUUUUGCAUGAGCCCAUCUCACCAUCCAGGUGCUAAGUCGAAGCUUUGAAACUUUUCUUAAAUGUUAUGUGGGCAAGCAACCUAAGAAAUGGUACCAAUUUUUGCCAUAGGCAGAGUGGACCUACCAUACCUCACAUCAUUCAUCAAUAAAUAUCACUCCUUUUGAGGCUCUCUACAGUAGACCACCUUAGACAAUUCCAUCUUACAUCAUCGGAUAAUCUUCAGCAGAUGUUGUGCAUGUGGAUUUAGUUUUGCGGGAUGAAUAAAUGAGAGUUCUUAAAAAGCACCAUAGUGCGGCACAAAAUCGUAUGAAGCAGAUUUAUGACAACAAGCAUCAGGAGCACGAGUUUGAGAUUGGAUAUUGGGUGCUCCUGUGACUUCCCCCAAACCAACAGUUGAGCAUUUGUUAGCAGAGAUUGAGGAAGAUUUCUUCUAAAUUUUACCCUUUCAAAUUAUCAACAAAAUGGCAAAGUAGCUUAUUGAUUGGAACAUCCUUCCAUUGCAACUAUUCACAAUGUUUUCCAUGUUUCAAAACAGAAGCCAUACAAUAGAGAACCCGAUGCUACUACCAAACUUCUCGUCGAACUAGAGAAGAAUAUGUUGAUUCCAACAAACAUUUUGGCCAAGCAAUGCCGUCGAGUCGAUAGGAGAAUGAAGACGGAGUAAGAUGGAACAAGCGACCGCGAGAUGAAGCUAUGUGGGAGGAAGAAGAUGAAAUGAAUUGUUACAAUCACCUAUUCGUAUUAGAAUUAGGGUUUCAUUUGAAUUUCUUCUUUCUUUAGGAUUAUUACAAAUUAUUUAUCUUGAUUCGCAUGAGAUUAGCACUCCUACUCAAAUUAGAGUUUCUAGAUGCUUUUGGCUAAGCUCAACUUUUAGUUUUCGUCAAUUAAUUUGAUCAAUAAAAGAAAAGUGAAGAUUUUUACCUCACUUGUUCUCUUCUCCGAUAAAGAAGAAACUUCUACCAUGAAGGUGAGAAUUUAGACACCUCAAAAGCCAUGUAUCAAUACUAUAUUUAGACAUUAAAUAUGAUGGUAAUUAACAAGCUACUGAUGUCAUGGAUCCAACUUGUGCUGGUCGUAUUGCCAUAUGUCGAGAAUAAAUGUAAAUAAUGGACAACGUGACAUGAAUCAAGUUCUCUUUAUCAUAAUGCCAUCUCAUGCUUAUCAAUGCCACUAAAUAUAUGGCUUGAAUUUUUUUUCCGUGGAGAGUGAGAAAUCCAAGUACUAUUAUACUUUUUCCCACCUUGAUAGGCAUUAAUUAGAGUUACUAGCAUAACACUAGUAGCCACCCUUUUUGUUUCCUCCUUAAAUCUAGAAAUUCAUAUAAAAGAAGUUUGUCAGUUCGGGUGCCAUUAGAGGCCAAGCAUUUGCAUGGCUGCAAGAACGAGAAGAAUAAAAGAAAAACAAUCACAACUUUAACCAUUUAGUAACUCAAGAUAUUUUGAAGGUCGAGCCCCUUUCUUUCUUAUAUCGAAUAGAAAUUUAAUUUUGCAUAUUGAACUGGCUUGUGAUUCUAGGGAUUUUCAUGCACGGUUUUGGGUAUGAUAUGAUCAUAUUGGCUUUGUCUCUAUGACACAAUCAUGGUGAAAAAUUUUUAAAUCAUGUCUUUCUUCUAUAAGGCACAUGAAUGAUUUGUUAAACUUUAUUAGAAACUAAGAUCGUACCUUCUGCCAUGAUUUCGAUUUCAAUACCCGGAUUAUUGACGAUGGCCCUUACUUGUGGUUCGUCCUCGUUCGUGAUUUGCAAGAAAACGAGACAUUUCGAGUCUAAUUCCCUUAUCACCGGAGAUAGAGCCGUCACAGAAAAUUAGAUUAGGGUUAGAUCGGGACUCCCGUAUGUUACAUAUUUAUAUAUAACUUGAUGUUAGGAUGCUAAAUCACGUUCGUCCAUCAAGAACAUGUCCAAAUACAUCACAACCGUUCGAUCUACCGUAUUUUAAUGGAUCGACUUAAAUAGACCGAUUGUAUCCUUGUAAAUCGCCUUGAAUAAAUAACGUAGACCACAUCCAAUUCUCCCACUUGGACGGGUGAUAUAGUCAUAUCGUAUAGGCCAUACAAAACUUUAUUAGGUACCAACUAAAUUAUACAGCCGAAAUCUCCCACUCGAUCAAGAAUCACAAUACUCUGAUCAUAGCGAUUAUGUCCAAACAGAUGAACAUUCCCUUCCAUGUAUCAAAAGCACGUAUUCCUUAAUCAAAUAACUUUAUAAGUUACAACCGUAUGAACUUAGGAUAAGUUCAACUCAGAGUCCUACUUUAGUACACAAUAAUACUUUAAUGUACAAAAAGUAACUUUAUGCGCAUAUGUGCAAAAACCAAAAUAUGUUCUUACUCAAAUAAAAAUAGUUUUUAGAGUCUUUACUUCUUUAUACAAGAAAAAAACUGUAAGGACUGAAAAUUUGACAGUGUAGCUAAACUCUCUGUUGACGAUAUUUAUGUGUGUAAUUUAAUUACAUAAGCACUCGUCAAGUUUCAGGAGAAAACGAGUUAGAAUGGAGAAGUUAUGCGACCUUUACUAAUCGCUGAAAGUGAAUAGUAACUUCGAUUUUUCGAAGAGGCCAAUCAGUGGAGAUGGCUUCUGGUGCGUAUUGGACUCCGUUCAUUGUGGUCCAAUAGCUCGUUUUCAACGGUUCGACUGUCCUAGAUCCAAUGGCGCUGACGGAUUUCAAGUUUGACGCACGAAUUUCGAGAAAACUGUAUACACAUAUAUUCUUUGUAUUUGUGUGUGGUUUUGCAUAUUGGAGAGGACCCGGAUCUGAGCCCUUGCGGACUCGCGUUGUACCGCCACCACCGCCGACAGGCGCGAGCCCCGGCCUCCCCUGGUCGGCCAGACCCGACUGCUGCCAGCGCUCCCGCCGCCAGAGCCCCUGCCGGUCAGAAAUAAGCCAUGCUCUCCAUGGGUACCUACAGCUAGGGCAUCAAUGCCCGCCGCCUCCCGUCGCCAGCCGAUGCGCGCCCUGGCAUCCCUACAUCGCCCGAACCAUCCUGCCGCCGGUGCGCCGGCCACCGAGCCGCCGACGCUCGUACCCUAGCUCCCCUCGGCCCGGUAAGCUUUAUUAAGCUAGUCUACGCACUGUUUCCUGUUCCGAUGUCACGCUCGGGCCGAGCGGAAGCCCGCCCGACACGUGCACAGACCCGCCGUGUAUACCAAUUACCAAACCUCCCCGAUAUUCCAGGGUAAUCCAGGGGAGGUCAUGUCCGUUCGGCGUCUGUUUGACGCGCCCGGCUGGUGUAAGUACUUACCAUAGCAGCCGCUACUGUCCAGUGAGGGCUUCGCCCGCCCCUUCGGUCGCGUCGGCUCCGGCGACUCCGACGCAUUAUGGAGUCCCACCUGCGGCGUCAUCGGCUGGACGUGCGAUGGUACCACGCCAACCUGAGGCAACAAGAUCGGCUCCGAGCGGGCGGGCGUUCGCCGCCCAAACUCAAGCCGAGGAACCUGCUGAGGCAGAAGACCGCCAUGUACUCGCAGGUAUGGUUUUAAUUAACGGAGUUCGCUCCAGGGCCAUGUUUGAUACAGGUGCUACGCAUUCAUUCAUCAGUAGGUCAUUUGCACGUAUGCAUGACAUAGAACUACAAGAGAGUAAAAGCACUUGGAGAGUAUCGGGCCCCGGACAUGAUUUUCUAGUCCGUAAGGAGUGUUCGUCUUGUCCAGUGCGGUUGGGCGAUUGGAUAAUGCCCAUCCGUAUGUUGGUGCUUAAAAAGUUGAAGGACUUUGACGUCAUUCUAGGAAUGGAUUGGCUCUCGAAGUACUAUGCGACUAUUCACUGUAGAAGUAAAGUGAUUACGUUUAGCGAACCGGGCCAAGAAGAGUUCGUCUACCGGCUUGUAGAAGCUCGCGCUUCGCUGCUAUGGUGUCGGCAACGAGGGCAAGGAAGUUAAUCAACAGCGGUUGUAUGGCCUAUUUGGCGACCGUUGUGGAAGUCGAGAGAACGACUCCUACGCUUGAGGAGUUAUCCGUGGUUCGGGAAUUUCCGGAUGUAUUUCCCGCGGAGUUACUUGGAAUGCCGCCAGACCGUAAGAUCGAGUUCGUGAUAGACUUGGUUCCAGGAACCGCGCCUAUCUCGAAGGCUCCGUAUCGGAUGGCGUCGGCGGAAUUGAAGGAGUUACGGGCUCAAUUGAUAGAUCUCCUUGAUAAAGGAUUUGUACGGCCAAGUGUGUCACCGUGGGGAGCUCCGGUUCUAUUCGUGCGAAAGAAGGAUGGAUCAUUUCGACUCUGCGUAGACUAUCGCGAGUUGAACAAAGUCACGAUCAAGAAUAAGUACCCGUUGCCUUGGAUCGAUGAUUUAUUUGAUCAGUUGCAAGGAUUUCGGAUUUAUUCAAAGAUUGAUCUACAGUCCGGUUAUCAUCAACUUAAGAUCAAGCCGGAAGAUGUGCAAAAGACCGCGUUUCGCACGCGGUAUGGAGAUUAUGAAUUCACGAUCAUGCCGUUUGGGCUCACUAACGCCCCGGCAGCAUUCAUGGAUUUAAUGAACCGUGUCUUCAAGGAGUACUUGGACCAAUUUGUCGUGGUCUUCAUAGACGACAUCUUGGUCUACUCGCGUAGCGACGAGGAACAUGCCGAGCAUCUGAUAAUCGUGCUUCAAAUCCUUCGGGAGGAGAAGUUGUAUGCUAAGUUUAAGAAAUGCGACUUUUGGCUUCGAGAGGUUGCAUUUCUUGGGCAUGUCAUUUCCGAUGGAGGAGUAUCUGUUGACCCGAGGAAAGUGGAGGCGAUCAAGGAUUGGCCUCGCCCGACUAACGUCACGGAAGUUCGAAGCUUCGUGGGUUUAGCGGGUUAUUAUAGACGGUUCGUGGAGGGAUUCUCGAAGAUCGUGGGUCCACUUACCCGUCUGACUCGGAAAGGCACCAAAUUCAUUUGGAGUGACGAGUGUGACCGGAGUUUUCAAGAGUUGAAGGAUAGAUUGACUUCGACUCCGGUGCUCGCCUUACCGGUGCAAGAUGAAGACUUCGUGGUGUAUAGCGACGCGUCACAAUCGGGCUUAGGGUGUGUUCUGAUGCAGGGCGGGAAGGUGAUCGCUUAUGCGUCCCGUCAGCUGAAAAGCUAUAAGAAGAAUUACCCUGUCCACGACUUGGAGUUGGCCGCGGUAGUGUUUGCCCUCAAGUUAUGGAGGCACUACUUGUAUCGCGCGCGUUGCGAGAUAUACACGGACCAUAAGAGUCUAAAGUACCUUUUCACACAAAAGGAGCUUAAUAUGCAACAGCGGCGGUGGUUGGAAUUGCUAAAGGAUUUCAAUAUUACAAUCCUAUACCACCCCGGAAAAGCAAACGUUGUGGCCGACGCGCUUAGCAGGAAGUCAGUGGAGAAUCUUGCUAUGUUGGUUACACGUCAAGAACCACUGUGGAGAGAGAUGGAACGACUGGAUCUCGAAGUGGUAGCUCCGGAAAUCCCGUCUAUGUUUACGGCUCUCAUUGUCCAACAGACCUUGUUGGAGCAGAUUAAGAGUUUGCAACCUGCGGACCCCAAUCUCCAAAAGGUGCGGCGAGGCAUCGAGAGUGGACACGGCGGUGAUUUCAGUAUAGACGCUGAUGGUGCGCUUCGGUUUCGAAACCGAUGGUGCGCACCGGAAAACGAGGAGGUCCGGAAGUUAAUCUUACAAGAAGCACAUCGGACUCUUUAUAGUAUUCACCCGGGCGGCACCAAGAUGUACCAUGAUCUGAAGAUGCAGUACUAGUGGCCGGGCAUGAAAGCGGAUAUUGGGCGCUAUGUAGCGCAGUGCUUGGUAUGCCAGCAAGUGAAGGCUGAGCGCCAAUUUCCAGCGGAAAGCCUGCAAAGUUUACCUAUUCCCGUUUGGAAAUGGGAGAACAUAGCUAUGGACUUCGUGGUCGAAUUGCCCCGUUCAACGGGUGGCCAUGACGCGAUCUGGGUGAUUGUGGAUCGUAUGACCAAGUCGGCACAUUUUCUACUGAUUCACACCACCUGGUCGGGCGACAGAUUGGCGCAGAUAUACUUGGAUGAAGUUGUGAGGUUGCACGGGGUUCCGAAGUCGAUCAUGUCAGAUCGAGACCCCCGUUUUACUUCGCACUUUUGGAAAAACCUGCAAGAAGCACUUGGCACACGGCUCGAUUUCAGCACCGCGUUUCAUCCUCAGACAGAUAGACAGCCAGAGAGGACUAUACAGAUUCUGGAGGAUAUAUUGCGGGCGUGUGUCAUUGACUACAAGAGUAGUUGGGCAAACCAUUUGAGGAUGGCCGAGUUCGCCUACAAUAACAGUUAUCAAGCUAGCAUUGGGAUGGCACCGUUCGAGGUCCUAUAUGGGCGGAAGUGCCGAUCCCCUAAAUGUUAGAGCGAUGUAGGUGAACCCGCGACAUUGGGCCCAGACGUAUUGCGGGAGGCGGAAGAGAAGGUCCGUCUCGCUCGCGAAAGGCUACUUACGGCACAGUCGAGGCAAAAGAGCUAUUCUGACAAACGCCGUAGAGACUUGGAAUUCGCGGUAGGUGUAAGGAAGUGAAUCCUCGAAAUCCGAGGAUUAGACUUCCUUUGGAAUCGACUGUUUGUCGAGUGUGUAGGCUUCGGAAAGUCCGAAGGUGAUUAUAAUGCCUAAAGCGCAUUAAGGAAAGGUCCACGGGAGCACCAGAGCGAAAUCUGCACUGGAGCAGAAAUGCUCUCGGGGACCGGUCCCUGGUAGGGAGGGACCGGUCCCAUCAGACUGGGCUGCAGGGGUCUUUGAUGAGACCGGUCCCUGGCAGUGAAGGACCGGUCCCCGAACGUUGGCCCAGCGAAAAUAGCCGAGAUUUGGCUGUCCCGAAAACUCCAACUCUCGGGAAUCAGUCUCUCGGACAAGGACCGGUCUCCCGGGGACCGGUCUCCCGGGGACCGGCCUCUCAGGCAAGGACCGGUUCCCGAACGCGAAAUCCCUCUGCCCGAGAUGGAAUGCUCUCGGGGACCGGUCUCCCCGAGCUGGGACCGGUCCCUCACUGCGAAAAUGCCCAGAGAGGGCUGGUUUAGAAGGUAAAAAGUUGAGGGGGCUAUCUGCAAAAUGGCCUUUAUUAGAGGCUGGGGGACCUCUUUUCUCCUCUCAUUUGCUCUCUAUCUCUCUCUCACACUCUUUCCCUCUCUCUCUCUAGAAAGAAAAGAAAGAGAAGAAGAAUGAGAGGAAAGAAAGGAAGGAAAAGAAGAAGUGGAAGGAGAAGACCAAGAAAAAGAUCUUCUUCCCUCUCCCCUUCAAGCUAGAGCAAGCUUGGAACUUGGUUUAGAGGUAAGCUCUAAACCCUCUAAUGGUAUUUCUAGGGUUUGGGAUUUUUAUGGCUUAGAGAUGGUUCGAAUGGAACCUAGAGGAGAUGAAUAGAUGGUUCGAGCUCGCAUUUGGAGCUCGCACCACGGAUUUCCUCACCGUUGCUAACCUAGGGCACGAAUUUGGAAUUUUUGGAAAUCUAGGGUUUUAAUCUAUUUUAAUAGGUCGUAAACCAAAUUGCUAGGUCUCGGAACGCGUCGGCGAAGACGGUUCGUCGAUCCGACGAGCGAGUGCGGAGUUAUCGCCAAAACGAGUACUUGAGGGCUCGCUUCGCCCCGAGGAGUUGAAGCGACGUGCAAAGACCGCAGAGUCGAGUUUUCUACCGUCACGGCAUCACCAAGAGGUGGGUCGUGUCCAUCCCGAAGUAAUCGGGCUCCCUUUUAUGUCUUAGUAUUUCGAGAUCUUGCAUCCUGUGUUCACAUGCAUUGUAGGAUAGUGUGCAUUGUCUUUCCUUAUGCUUUCCUAGCUUAUAUCAUGUUAUGCAUUAGUUGCUGGAUAUAGGGGAUUGAUGAGGAUUGGGUCGAGACUUGUAAUCCUAUAGUGCAGCGGUGAAAGAAUGAUGCAAUAGCUGAAAUAAAGAACGAGUGGCAUCUAGUUGUUAUUAAACAAAAGAACGAGUGGCAUCUAGUUGUUAAUAACAAAAGAACGAGUGGCAUCUAGUUGUUAAUAACCAAAGAACGAGUGGCAUGUGUGAGUUGUAGCGUAUAUGAAACCCAUUGACUAUGGUGACAGUAACCCUAGAGGAUAGGGCACCCUUGAGGCGGGAGAAUUGGAUCAUACUCAUUGUCUGCUCCCAACUUGUGAUGGUCGCUCCACACAAGUAGUGCGCUCCAGAGUCGGUCACGAGGGAUAGCCUAUGUGGGGUCCCGUGGGAUAGGGAUAGCCUAUUUGGGGUUCCUAGGGAUAGCCUAUUUUGAGAAAAAUGAUAGAGUAGUUGCAGUUCAUUUUCUACAUAUAUAUCUAUCUCUCUCUAUCUGUGCCAGCUUAAACCUAGUGGGAAAACCGGCGGCGUCGGCGGCCGAACCCACUGGGAACUAUAUUCAUAUAGUUCUCACCCCGUGUGGUUUUGGGGUACAGGUACACACAGAGGCGAGCCGAGCGAGGAUCGCGGCAAAGGCAUAGCGCCCUAAGUAAGCCUAGUUAGUAGCUUU